Molecule: long non-coding RNA, 56119 nt
Filed under: Zea mays
Lineage: Eukaryota; Viridiplantae; Streptophyta; Magnoliopsida; Poales; Poaceae
Description: long non-coding RNA (ZMAY_LNC000143)
Source: RNAcentral
UCUGUAAUAUCAGUACAACCUGCUUGCCAGUGGGCAAGAAUCUUCUGAUGUGGUGCCAAACUCGUCACUACUGGAGGACAAAUAUGAUGACAUGUAGUUUUAAGUUCCGAUAGUUCUGGAGUGGAUUGGUGUGUGUGUCCCUGCAAGCUUUCUCCUACAGGCUGGAGUUCUAGUUCUGAUGCAGCGUUUGUGUUUCCCUUUUGAACUGUGUCGUGAAACCAAUGUUCACUCGAGAGGAAUGUAGUUUUCAACUGAGUUGUUGAACCUUCGCAAAUUGGAGGGUCAAUGGUCUGUGGAGACUGGAGAGGAACGUGGCUUUCGCUGUGGCGAUCGUAUUUUGUAAUUGUUGAAUCUGCAGUAUUUUGGUCUUUAGCAAUGAAAUAUGGAGAUGCACGUAGUUUUUCUAUGACGCGAAAAGGGAGGGAAAAACUGGUAAUUUCAAAUGGCCAUAUAUCUAUUAUUAUGAGUUUAAUGGCUGUCUAGUCUUGAUGCACACAGAGAAUGGAAGUCGUAUUGUCUUCCUCAAAAGUUGGUACCAACAUCGUUCAAAAUCUGCACACUGCAGCUAAGCCUGGGCAUAUUACCUGUUACUCGAACCUGAAAAUUCCGGACUCAGACCCGAAUUCCGAAUUUGUAGCACCCGAUGUCUAGUUUGGAUAGUAAAUGCUACCUGAAUUUAGUUUGGAUAAUUCAGGUAGCAUCACCCGGUGCCGUGCCUGAACUACUCGAAACAGUGUCAGUGUGUGUCACCUAGCCCUUAGCGUGUGUGGAUGUUUUAGUCCAACAUGAAACACACGGACAUGGGCCACGCCCACGCGGCCCAUCAACAAUUCAAUCUGCUUCCUCCAUGGACCAUGGCUCUGUCCGUAAGGUGCCUUCCCUAGUCUAGCAUUCGACAUCUCGGCCACUCCUCAGGCCCUAGCAGCCUCCAAUCCCUCCAUAACCUAGCUGCCACCCGUCGCUCUCCUUGUGCCCGCCUGCGGCCUGCCCGGAGGCUGGAUCGCCAGACGCCGGACGCCAGAGCGACCUCGAGUGCCUGGAGGCCGGACCACCGGAGGCCGGAGCGACCAUGACGGCGUCACGGCGCUCGCUGUCGCUGCCUCCUUCGUCCACCUCUGUCCUCUGAUCUCUACUCCUCACAACCUCACUGGUUAAGGGAUCGCGAGUGCUGAGGUUGAUGUCGCUGUUCGGGUAAAUUGGGUAUACCCUAAACUCGUACCGGAAAUUGCGGGUAGCGUUUUAGUAAGGCUGUGAUCGAGUAACAAAAUCUAUUAUCUGAAUUUAUCAAAACCCGAAUUACCCGAACCGAACUAAUCGGAUAACCCCGCCCAGUUUUGACUGCAGCUACAGACAACUAGUUUUUUCUCAAACAUGUGUGAGUACAUAUCAUUUUAAUAAAGAGAGAAAGAAACAACAUAUUACAAAGGAGGCCAACACAGCUUUCCCCCGCAACACACACAUACACUCAACACAACACCACAUGUAGGCUACAACCCCAAGAACACCUUAACCCGGAUCAACCACAUAAGUUGAGAGCAAGGACAAAUCUUUUGCUUCAACCAUAUACCACAACCUAAAAUCAUCUUCAGCCAAAUGAGGGUCUUGAAAAUACUAGACCGCACACCAUUGAACACAGUCAUUACGGUGGCGCCAAAGACACCAAGCCACGUCCUCACCAUAUUACUCCCCUUCCCCUUACCUACGACCAAUGUUUAUAUAACUCUCUAAUUGUUUUUUUUUUUCAUUUUACCCUCCUCUUUUGAGUUGUUCAAUUUAACAUGAUUUUUCUUUUUAUUUCUUUAUGUAUAAAUUUAGUUUUCAGUUCAAAUUUUUUGUUAGUAGCUAAUAGCAUAAUGUAGUUUAAAAAAUAAAUUUUAUUUUUAUAAUUACUUCUAUAGGUUAGGGAUCUGAUAAGACAAAAAAUUUAAUGUUACAAAACUAAAUAUAAAAUAAUGAUGAAAAAUUAUUAACAUAUUUUUCAAUAUAAGGUAUAAUGUCUUUAAUCACCUCAAAAAAUAUGAAUUUAAAAUUUAAUUUGUACAUGUAGAAACGAAAAGGACAAUCUUAUUAGAGAGAGAUUUUUCUUUUUUUUUUUGUUUCUCUAUGUAUAAGUUAAAUUUGAUGUUUGUAUUUUCUAGGUGAUUGAGAAAAUCAUAAAUUAUGUAGAAAAAUAUGUUAAUUUUUUCAUUAUUUAAGUUAUUAUUUUAUUUUAAGUUUAUAUUAAAUUUUAUCUUAUUAAAGUUAUUAUUUUAUCUAAUUACUAACCUAUUAAAAUAAUUAUAAAAAUAUAAUAUAUUUUGCUAAGCUACAUUAUGUUGUUAGCUACUAACAGGUAAAAAUUUGAACUGAAAAUUCAGUUUGAAAAUGAAAAGGACAAAUUUCUAUUAAGGUGUAAACUGAACGGACUCAAAGAAAUGGAGGGAUAAAAUGAACUGAAAAAUAGUUUAGGUAGUUACACGAACAUUGUCGAGAGUAAUUUGGAGUUUUUUCUAGAAUAAAAAAAUUGUCAAAAUAAGCUAGGUCGAUUCUGUUUUUUAUACAAAUAACAAGGGUAGGAAUAAGUGAGGCUGGAAUGAAGUAAAAAAACAUAUCGUUUGGGCGUCGGUUUUAGCUUAUUUUAACCAAUAGCUUAUAAGCUACACAGACAGAUCAAAUAUCUUCAGUACAUAUGAGCUUUAUAAUAUUAUAUAGAAUUUAGAAGAAUUAGUUUUAUUUUGACAUAGAACACACAAAAAAGCAAGCAUUUGAAAAAAAGAAGGUAGGCCAAGCCGUGACCGUAAUGCUUUCCUUUUUUGUGCUACCGUUUUCGAGCCACUUUCGACGAUCCGAGCAGAGCAAGCGAAACCACUACGUAACCGGGUACAUGGAUUCUAUUCCAAAAUUUUGCCAUCACAAGAAGCCUUAGGAGGCAGGAUACAUGGAUUCAACCAAAACCUUUGCACCAGGCUGACCUUGCCUUAAUCUUUGAUCCGAGAUGCAAUAAUGAAUAGAUACAUAACACAAGUUGAGCAGUCUUUUAUGUUUUGUAUUUCCUUUUUACAUAAGUUUCGAACACCAUGUCAUCACAUAAAACAAGAGAACUGACAUCCUUAUCACUCAUUGAUGCUCGUUCAUCUACUUCUGCAACAUUUAUAUGACAUUCAUUCUUAGCUACAGAGAAAAUUCGUUGCUUUCGAACAAGCAUCUGCCCGUAGGGAGUGAAAAAAAAUCAAUCUGUCUGCCAAGCUGCGCAAUCGACAUUUGAGGCAAGGCUACAACCAAUAAAUAAAGAACCUAAAGGCUCAGCAUAUCCCUUGUCAGCAGGGAAAGGAAAAAUGGACCUGCAGCAUGUGGUAUUGCCACAAUGUACUAUCAGGAUGCAGCAGCUGUGUACUGCACCAUGUCAUGCUCAUAUAUUGUAUCUGUUAUCCUCGAUGGUGGCUAGUAUCGGAGCACAGAUCUCCCAAGGAUGUUCUUAAAUGGAAGUGGACUCCUGCAGAAACCACACAACACGUGAGCUAUUGCUGUAGAAACUGGGGUUAAAAAUGAAACAUAAAGCAUCUAUUAGAGGUUUAUCAUACCAGUUAUGUGAAUCAAAGUUGUUGUUUCUGUUAUCCCCCAGAACAAAGACAUAGCCUUCAGGUACAGUCUGGCCAAGCAACAAUAAAUCAGGAUUCAUUGGAUGAAAAUAGUAAACUUAAUAUGUGAUCAACACAUAACAGGUGCAGGGUGCAGCCUAUAGAACUAUCCACCAACAUAGAACACAUGAAUAAUUUUGAGGCUGCAACCUAUUUAUAACAAUUCAAAAGUAAAGAACUGAUGCCACAUAACUAUGAUGGUGUUAAGUAGCCACAUAACUAUGAUGGUGUUAACUUAACAGGACUACAAAAAAUGGUUCUUUAGUAGCAUGUGGUAAGAUUAGUUAUUAUACCAGCGGAUCCAUUUCAUAGUUGGUUGGUUCCAGCACAAAUUCCUCCUCCUAAACUACUCCAUUAACCAACAAGUUACCAUCACGUACCUAUUAAAUACAAGGGACACUGAUAAGCUCAUAUACUCCCCAAAAAAGUAAUGCCACAAUGAAGGAAAAUAUAGAGACGGUUACUACCAUUGGGAUAAAAGCUUACUUCAACGAUGUCCCCGCCCUUAGCCACAACUCUCUUGAUGAACACAUCACCUAAGUUGUAGCCCAAUGUCUACAAAGAUUGUUCUGAUUAUAAUAAGAAGCCCCGAAGAACUACAUAAGACAAUGGAGAAACAAUGUAUCACACCUGAAGUACUGGAGGUGCACGAAAUAUCACGAUGUCCAAAAUUUCUGGCUCCCGAAAAAUGUACGAAACCUACAGCCACAAUAGGGGCUAGACAUUAGAUGCAUGUUCACCAAUAGAAGCAAAUGAUACAUUAUAAAUUCACAUAUGUAUUCAUAUAACAAAGGAAACCAAAAUAAAACAUACUACCUUCUCAGCAAGGAUCCGGUCACCAACAUCAAAUGUUGGGAACAUUGACCUGGAUGGGAUGGACCUCGGUUCAGCUAGGGAUGAUUUAUAGAGCAGUGACACGGUCACGGCGGCGAAGAUUGUCUUUGCAUCAUCUGAGCAUGAGCUCACCCACUUUGAGAGCCAACCAGUCUUCCUUCUCACCCCUGCACCAGCAGGAAGACUAGCCGGUGCACCGGACAGUCCAGUGCCCCCUGCCGACCGUUGGUGCGGGCCACGUGUCGCCUGCGGAUUGCGUGGCCGACCGUUGCGCUGGCGACCGUUGGCUCACCGGACAGUUCGGUGUACCACCGGAUAGUCUGGUGAAUUAUAGCCGUACGCCACUGAUCUUUUCCCGAGAGCGGCCUUUUCACCGGAGACCAGCCUGGCGCAUCGGACACUGUCCGGUGCACCACCGGACAGUCCGGUGUGCUAGACUGAGUUGAGUUUUGGCUGCAUCGAGCCAAGUCUUUUUGGUUUCUUUUCUUCUUCUUUUCUCACUAUUUCUAGCACUUAGAUAACUUCAUUAGUAUUCAAAAACAAAUGUACUAAGUCUAGAAACAUACCUCAUGUCUUGAUUUGCACUUUUUCAAUCUUUGGCACAUUAGGACUUAAAGAAUAUGUGUUAAGCACUUAAUCACCAAAACAUUAUAGAAAUGGCCCAAAGGCACAUUUCCCUUUCAAGUACAUGACACAUGAAAGUUCGGGUAAUUCAGGUAUUUCGGGUACCCGAUUAUGAUAUCCGAAUUACCGAAAUAAAUUUGGGUUUUGCAAGUUGCUAUCCGAAAUUCUCGUACAAAAUUUGUGUUCGGGUAUUCCGGGUUCGGGUUUUUUUGCCUAGCCCUAAUAGAGAUUCCCAUGCAAUACAAUUCACAUUGGAUGUAGGGUAUACGCUCCGGCGGCCCGAACCACUCUAACUCUUGUGUUCUUGUGUCCUUCAAGCUAAUCAGGCAAAUCCCUAUGCCUCCUUCUGAUCUUAGAAUUAGGCGGGUGCAUUUCGCAACCCGGCUAGAGUUUUUUCUAAAACGGCUGUAAUGGGCUUAGGCCUACUUUACUCUAUUAUUAAUAAAACUCGCUAUCAUUUCUAGCGUUAGUGUUUUACUUCUAUAAUGGUAUCAAAGCUAGGUUAAGGUUUUUCUUCUCCCACUCCCAGCCGCUAGUCGCUCGCUCCUUCUCCGCGGUCGUCGGCCUUCCCCUGUCCUUGCCACUAGGGCCCUCACCUCCCUUGUUGGUGUGGUAUGGAGUGUGGCCGCCUCCUCCCGGUUCCUCCCCUCCCACGACGACGCCUCUACUCGCACCCAUGAAUGUGGCAAUCGCGCCCGCUCUCGACCGACGUGCGGACUUUGCCACCCUCAUCUCCCAUGGUUGUGGAGUACGUGCCUCCCGCCCACCCCACAGUCGUGCCAGCGACACUUCUCACAUCCCACCUCGUGAUGCCAUCCCCCUUGCCCCCCUCAACGGCGACGUGACUCCUGCCCCUGUCCCCACCGUCCUCCCCUAUGACGGCGCGCCCACCACCCUUGCCAGUAGCAAGUGCACAGUCCCCGCGCACGGCCAGGCUGCCUGCAUCACGAGCAGUGGCAGAACUACCUCAUCUAGACGCUCUCCUCCAUAGCGCCCAAUGACCAAUACCGACCCACUUUGUCAUGCCUGUCAACUUGGGUGUCACACUCGGUUACCCUUGAAAGGGAAAUAGGGUCAAACCUUUUCCUAUAUGAUUUUGGUGGUUGAAUUGCUCAACACAAAUUAUAGGACUAACUAGUUUGCUCUAGAGUAUAUGUUCUACAGGUACCAAAGGUUCAACUCAAAACAAUACAAAGAUUAAAAAGGGUUCAAGAAGAAAGGAGCAAAGGAAACCGAAGUGCUCUCUGGUCUGGGGCACCGGACUGUCCGGUGUGCCACUGGACAGCGUUCGGUGCACCAGGGAGGAACGACUUCAAACUCUUCACCUUCGGGUUUCCCAGGCGCACCUCCGCUAUAAUUCACUGGACUGUCCGGUGAGCCAGCGGAGCAACGGCUAUCUGCGCGCAACGGUCGACUCUGACAGUGAACAGUGCAGCACAGUACACGCGGCAGAAGUCAGAGCAGAUGGUCAGAGGGGCACCGGACUGUCCGGUGUGGCACCGGACUGUCCGGUGCCGCAUGAGGACAAAGCCUCCAACGGUCGACCAGCUCCAACCCUGACGAACAGGAUGACGUGGCGGCGCACUGGACACUGUCCGGUGGCGCACCGGACUGUCCGGUGCACCCAUCACCAGCAGCCAUCUCCAACGGCUACAUUUUGGUUGGUGGCUAUAAAUACCACCCCAACCGGCCACUUCAAGGUGUGGGAGCCCAAGCAACAUUCCAAGUCAUAUAGUUGACAUAUCCAAGCCCUCCCAACCACCUCUAUUCAUUGAUUCAUCCUAUACACAAGAUUUAGACCACUACACCCACACAAGUGCCACAAAAGUGAGAGCAAGCAAAAGAAAGCUUCUCAUGUGAGUUUAGCUGUAGUGCCUUGUGAGAUUCAAUGAGAGAAAGUGUGUGCUACAUCUUGCGUUCAUUUGUGCGUGGAGUUUUGACUCCCAUUGAACUUCCUCCAAAGUUUUGGAGGCUUGUAAAGCUAGCAAGAGACACCAAAGUGUGUGGUGAUCCUUGCGGUGUCUUAAGUGAUCCUUGAGAAGAAGAAGAGCUCGCCGAUCUUGGGGAUCGGUUGAGAGAUGGAAAGGGUUGAAAGAGACCCGUCCUUAGUGGACUCCUCAACGGGGACUAGGCCUUCGAGGGCCGAACCUCGGUAAAACAAAUCACCCGUGUCUCUUGUGUUUAUUGCUUGUGAUUUGUUUGUUCUUUCCCUUUCUAAGUUCUCUUGCGCUACUCUUUGCUAAUAUUAUUUUGUGUUGCUUCAAGAUAAAUUCUCAUUUAGAGAAGCAACUCCUUGCAAGAAAGAACUUGUGCUUAUCUUCUUCUUAUCUAAGCCCUCUUGCAUUAUUCUCCACUAACAUUUCUAGGAGUAUUGCUAUUGAUUAAAAUUCCGCACUCUUUGAAAACAAUACUCGUUGCAAGCAAAUGACUUAGUUUUAUACUCCGAUAAUUGUGUGUCUUGUUCUAACCACUAAUCAAGGGAUCUAGUUGGGGGAUAAAGUUUUAAUUUUCAGGUUUCGCCUAUCCAUCCCCCCUCUAGGCGACUUUCAAUUGGUAUCAGAGCUAGGCACUUCAUAUUGAGUCUAACAACUCGAAGUGAUGGCUCGAAGAAGAUCCCAAAAGAACAAGAAAACCAAGGAGAACAAGGAGGUAACUCUUGGGAUAUUACUUUCUGAUUGUUCUAAUUAUGAUUCAUGGGCUACUAGGGUGCUAAAUGCUUUUAGAACCAUAGAUCUCCGAUUAGAACAAAUCUUAUACAAGAGUAUUAUUGAGAGCACCUAGAGGGGGGUGAAUAGGUGAUCCUGUAAAACUUAAAACUUAACACCACAAACUUGAUUAAGAGUUAGAACACUGAAAUCAAGUGAGUAGAGAGGAGAGCUCUUGUGAAUCACAAAGGACACAAUAAAGACAAGCACAAGAGACACGAGGAUUUAUCCCGUGGUUCGGCCAAGUACAAAACUUUGCCUACUCCACGUUGUGGCGUCCCAACGGGCGAGAGUUGCACUCAACUCCUCUCAAGUGAUCCAAUGACCAACUUGAAUACCACGGUGUUCUUCUUUACUUUACUCUUUUCCCGCUUGCGAGGAAUCUCCACAACUUGGAGUCUCUCGCCCGUACAAUAAGAAUCUCAAUGAAGCACUAGAGUAAGGGAGGGAAGCAACACACUCAAAACCACAGCAAAUACGCACACACAAGAUCAAGACUUGAGCUCAAGACAAUAUCUCGAGGUUCUCACUAGAACAGAGCUCAAAUCACUAAGAAUGUCGAACAAGUGCGCAAGAAUGAAGUGUGAGUGAUCAACAAUGCUCAAGGAAUGCUUGGUGUACUCCUCCAUGUGCCUAGGGGUCCCUUUUAUAGCCCCAAGGCAGCUAGGAGCCAUUGAGAGCAUUUCAAGAAGGCAAUUCUUGCCUUCUGUUGCCUGGCGCACCGGACAGUCCGGUGCACCACCAGACACUGUCCGGUGCGGAUUUCUUUCCUUCUUUGGCGAAGCUGACCAUUGGCGGUUUGGAGCCGUUGGCGCACCGGACACUGUCCGGUGCACACCGGACACUGUCCGGUGCACACCGGACAGUCCGGUGCCCCUUCUGACCGUUGGCUCUUGCCACGCAUCGCAUGCGGAUUAUGCGGCCGGCCGUUGGCCUGGCCGACUGUUGGCUCACCGGACAGUCCGGUGCACCACCGGACAGUCCGGUGAUUUAUAGUCGUACGCCGUUAAUUGCUUCCCGAGAGCAGCCAGUUGACAGUCGCCGGCCUGGCGCACCAGACACUGUCCGGUGCACCACCGGACAGUCCGGUGCACCCAGACCGAGCUGUCUAUGGCUGAACAAAGCCGUCUCUUUUCCAACUUGAUUUCUCCUGUUUCCAGCACUUAGACACAAUACAUUAGUCUCCAAAACAAUGUACUAAGUCUUAGAAACAUACAUUUUUACUUGAUUUGCACUUUAUCCAUCACUUUGCAUAGAUUAACAUUAGUCCACUUGUGUUGGCACUCAAUUACGAAAAUACUUAGAAAUGGCCCAAGGGCACAUUUCUCUUUCAAUCUCCCCCUUUUUGGUGAUUUAUGCCAACACAAUAAAAAGCAACUAAAGAAAGUGCAACAUCAAUACAAAUGAGAAUUCAAAAUUGUUUUGAUUCAAAUUUGGCAUAUAUGGAUCAUUCUUUGCCACCACUUGGUUUGUUUUUGCAAAUCAAACUCAAUUUCCUAUCUCUAAGUCAAGCACACUUGUUGAAACAUAAAGAGAGAUAUUUCAAGAGAAAUUGAUCAAAGAUUUCAAAAACUCCCCCUUUUUCCCUUAAUCAAAUAUUCUCCCCACAAGAGAUCAACUUUCCACAAUAAGAGACAAACAAGAGUAUUUUGACAAACAAAAACUCUAACUCUACUUUUUCAAAAUUCUCAAGUGGUAGCUGAUCCAUUUCUUGCUUUGGCCUUAUUUUCUCCCCCUUUGGAAUCAAGCACCAAAACGGGAUCAAUCUUGGCCCUUUAACCCCAUUGCCUCACCAAAAUCUUCAACUAAGAGUAAAAAGGCAAUCGGAGUACAAAGAUGAACUUGGAGUUAGUUACUCUUUCAUCGGAGUGCAGUGGAAGUCUUGCAUGGUCCAAGUCCACCUUUUCCCUUUCAAACCUCCUUUGAGACUAAAUUAAGCAAACUUAAGCACACAGUUAGUCUCAAAGGGUCAAGUUGUAGCACAUCUCCCCCUAAAUAUGUGCAUCACUUGCAAAUGGACUUGUGAGGUCCGGGGAGUGCUUGUACAACUUGAGCACCAUAAAUAAACAACAAAAUGCAUUAAGGAACAUGAUCAAGGCAUAAAACACAUGUAUGCUAUAAAUCAAUCCAGGUUCCGCGAAUCUAAGACAUUUAGCUCACUACGCAGCUUGCAAAAGGUCGACUCAUCUAGAGGCUUGGUAAAGAUAUCGGCUAGCUGGUUCUCGGUGCUAACAUGAAACACUUCGAUAUCUCCCUUUUGCUGGUGGUCUCUCAAAAAGUGAUGUCGGAUGUCAAUGUGCUUUGUGCGGCUGUGUUCAACAGGAUUAUCCACCAUGCGGAUAGCACUCUCAUUGUCACAUAGGAGUGGGACUUUGCUCAGAUUGUAGCCAAAGUCCCGGAGGGUUUGCCUCAUCCAAAGCGCGCAACACUGUCCUGCGGCAACAUACUCGGCCUCAGCGGUGGAUAGGGCAACAGAAGUUUGUUUCUUAGAACUCCACGACACCAGGGACCUUCCUAAGAAUUGGCACGUCCCCGAUGUACUCUUCCUAUCGACCUUACAUCCAGCAUAGUCGGAGUCUGAAUAUCCAAUUAAGUCAAAGGUAGACCCCUUUGGAUACCAGAUCCCGAAGCAAGGCGUAGCGACUAAAUAUCUAAGAAUUCGCUUCACAGCCACUAAGUGACACUCCCUUGGAUCGGAUUGAAAUCUAGCACACAUGCAUACACUAAGCAUAAUAUCCGGUCUACUAGCACAUAAAUAAAGUAAAGACCCUAUCAUAGACCGGUAUGCCUUUUGAUCAACGGACUUACCUCCUUUGUUGAGGUCGGUGUGUCCGUCGGUUCCCAUUGGAGUCUUUGUGGGCUUGGCGUCCUUCAUCCCAAACCGCUUGAUCAAGUCUUGCGUGUACUUCGUUUGGGAGAUGAAGGUCCCAUCCUUGAAUUGCUUCACUUGGAACCCAAGGAAAUAGCUUAACUCGCCCAUCAUCGACAUCUCAAACUUUUGAGUCAUCACCCUGCUAAACUCUUCACAAGACUUUUGGUUAGUAGAACCAAAUAUUAUGUCAUCGAGAUAAAUUUGGCACACAAAAAGAUCACCAUCACAAGUCUUAGUAAAAAGAGUUGGAUCGGCUUUCCCAACCUUGAAAGCAUUAGCAAUUAAAAAGUCUCUAAGGCAUUCAUACCAUGCUCUUGGGGCUUGCUUAAGUCCAUAGAGCGCCUUAGAGAGCUUACACACGUGGUCGGGAUACCGUUCAUCCUCGAAGCCAGGGGGUUUCUCCACGUACACCUCCUCCUUGAUUGGCCCGUUGAGGAAAGCGCUCUUCACAUCCAUUUCGAACAACCUGAAAGAAUGGUGAGUAGCAUAGGCUAACAAUAUGCGAAUUGACUCUAGCCUAGCCACAGGAGCAAAAGCCUCCUCAAAGUCCAAACCUGUGACUUGGGCAUAACCUUUUGCCACAAGUCGUGCCUUGUUCCUUGUCACCACCCCAUGCUCGUCUUGUUUGUUGCAGAACACCCACUUGGUUCCCACAAUGUUUUGCUUGGGACGAGGCACCAGUGUCCAAACUUCAUUUCUCUUGAAGUUGUUGAGCUCUUCCUGCAUGGCCAACACCCAGUCCGGAUCUAGCAAGGCCUCUUCUACCCUGGAAGGCUCAAUAGAAGAGACAAAGGUGUAAUGCUCACAAAAAUUAACUAAUCUAGAACGAGUAGUUACUCCCUUGCUUAUGUCACCCAAUAUUUGGUCGACGGGAUGAUUCCUUUGAAUCGUCGCUCGAACUUGGGUUGGAGGUGCCGGUUGUGCUUCUUCCUCCAUUAAAUGAUCAUCUUGUGCUCCCCCUUGAUCACACGCCUCAUGUUCAUCAUCUUGAGUUGGGGGAUGCACCAUUAUUGAGGAGGAAGGUUGAUCUUGCUCCUUUUGUUCCAUUGGCCUCACAUCUCCAAUCGCCAUGGUGCGCAUUGCGGCCGUUGGAACGUCUUCUUCAUCUACAUCAUCAAGAUCAACAACUUUCUCUCUUGGAGAGCCAUUAGUCUCAUCAAAUACAACGUCGCUAGAGACUUCAACCAAACCCGAUGAUUUGUUGAAGACCCUAUACGCCUUUGUAUUUGAGUCAUAACCUAACAAAAACCCUUCUACAGCUUUGGGAGCAAACUUAGAAUUUCUACCUUUCUUCACUAGAAUGUAGCAUUUACUCCCAAAUACACGAAAGUAAGAUACAUUGGGUUUGUUACCAGUUAGAAGCUCAUACGAAGUCUUCUUGAGGAGGCGAUGAAGGUAGACCCGGUUUAUGGCGUGGCAAGCCGUGCUCACGGCCUCCGUCCAAAACCGUUCGGGCGUCUUGAAUUCACCAAGCAUCGUCCUCGCCAUGUAUAGUAGCGUCCUGUUCUUCCUCUCUACCACACCAUUUUGUUGUGGUGUGUAGGGAGCGGAGAACUCGUGCUUGAUUCCUUCCUCCUCAAGAUACUCCUCCACUUGAAGGUUCUUGAACUCGGACCCAUUGUCGCUCCUUAUCUUCUUCACUUUGAGCUCAAACUCGUUUUGGGCUCUCCUUAGGAAGCGCUUGAGGGUCCCUUGGGUUUCAGAUUUAUCCUGCAAAAAGAAUACCCAAGUGAAGCGGGAAAAAUCAUCAACUAUAACAAGACCAUACUUACUUCCUCCUAUGCUUAGAUAGGCGACGGGUCCAAAGAGAUCCAUAUGAAGUAACUCCAGGGGUCUUGAUGUUGUCAUCACAUUUUUGGCAUGAUGAGAGCUUCCCACCUGUUUACCUGCUUGACAAGCUGCACAAGGUCUAUCUUUUUUGAAAGUUACAUUAGUUAGACCUAUCACGUGUUCUCCCUUUAGAAGCUUGUGAAGGUUCUUCAUCCCCACAUGUGCUAAACGGUGAUGCCACAGCUAGCCCAUGCUAGUCUUAGCAAUUAAGCAUGCAUCUAGACCGGCCUCCUCUUUUGCAAAAUCAACUAAAUAAAGUUUGUCGUCUAGUACACCCUUAAAAGCUAAUGAACCAUCACUUCUUCUAAAGACAGACACAUCUACAUUGGUGAAUAAACAGUUAUAUCCCAUAUUACAAAGUUGACUCACAGACAACAAGUUAUAUCCAAGCGACUCAACUAAGAACACAUUAGAAAUAGAGUGCUCGGAUGAAAUAGCAAUUUUUCCUAACCCUUUCACCUUGCCUUGGUUCCCAUCACCGAAUAUGAUUGAAUCUUGGGGAUCCUUGUUCUUGACGUAGGAAGAGAACAUCCUCUUUUCCCCCGUCAUGUGGCUUGUGCAUCCGCUGUCGAUAAUCCAGCUUGAGCCCCCGGAUGCAUAAACCUGCAAGGCAAAUUUAGGCUUGGGUCUUAGGUACCCAACUCAUGUUGGGUCCUAUAAGGUUAGUACAAAUAGCUUUAGGGACCCAAAUGCAAGUUUUAUCUCCCUUGCAUUUUGCCCCUAAUUUUCUAGCAACCACCUUCUUAUCCUUUCUACAAAUAGCAAAGGAAGCAUUUAAAGCAUGAUAAAUUAUAGAAGGUUCACUACUUGUUUUCCUAGGCACAUGAGUGUUUCUCCUAGGCACAUGAUGAAUGGCAUUUUUCCUAGCCAAACUUCUAUCAUACAUCAUAGAAGAACUUGAAGCAAACAUUGCAUUUGAAUCAUAAGCAUGUGAAACAAUAUCAUUGCAACUUCUAUCAUGAUGAACAUUCCUAGAAUAUCUCCUUUCAUGGUAUAAGAAAGCAUGGUUCUUUUGAAUACUAUUUGCCAUAGGGGCCUUCCCUUUCUCCUUGAUGGAGAUGGUAGCCUUAUGACUUGUCAAGUUUUUGGCUUCCCUCUUGAAGCCAAGCCCAUCCUUAAUUGAGGGGUGUCUACCAACUGUGUAGGCAUCCCUUGCAAAUUUUAUUUUAUCAAAAUCACUCUUGCUAGUCUUAAGUUGGGCAUUAAGACUAGCUACUUCAUCAUUUAAUUUAGUAAUUGAAACUAGGUGUUCACUACAAGCAUCAACAUUAAUAUCUUUACACCUAUUGCAAAUUGCAACAUUGAGAGCACCUAGAGGGGGGGUGAAUAGGUGAUCCUGUGAAACUUAAACUUAUAGCCACAAAAACUUGUUAAGUGUUAGCACAAUAAUCGCCAAGUGGCUAGAGAUGAGUCUCAACAAAACACAAUACCACAAAAGAUCAACAUAGAGAAGACACAGUGGUUUAUCCCGUGGUUCGGCCAAGUACAAAACUUGCCUACUCCACGUUGUGGCGUCCCAACGGACGAGAGUUGCACUCAACUCCUCUCAAGUGAUCCAAUGAUCAACUUGAAUACCACAGUGUUAUGCUUUUCCUUUCAAUAUCCCGUUUGCGAGGAAUCUCCACAACUUGGAGCCUCUCGCCCUUACACUUAAGAUUCACAAAGAAAUACGGAGUAAGGGAGAAACUAGCAACGCACACAAGACUCAAAAUCAGAGCAACAGCACGCACACAAGUCGCAACAAGAGCUCGCAACACAACUCAAUGAGUCCACAACUCAACAAGAGCUCUAGAUGCUAUCACAAUGAACCAAAUGCGUGGAAUCGAUGUCUUGGUGCUUAGGAAUGUUGUAGGAAUGCUUGGUGUCCUCUUCCAUGCGCCUAGGGGUCCCUUUUAUAGCCCCAAGGCAGCUAGGAGCCGUUGAGAACAAAUCCAGAAGGCCAUCCUUGCCUUCUGUCGUCGGGCGCACCGGACAGUCCGGUGCACACCGGACACUGUCUGGUGCCCGAUUUCCUUCCUUAAACAGCGCAGUCGACUGUUGCAGGUCUGGGAGCCGUUGGCGCACCGGACAUGUCCGGUGCACACCGGACAGUCCGGUGCCCCCUUCCGACCGUUGGCUCGGCCACGUGUCCCGCGCAGAUCGCGCGGCCGACCGUUGGCCCGGCCGACCGUUGGCUCACCGGACAGUCCGGUGCACACCGGACAGUCCGGUGAAUUUUAGCCGUACGUCGCCAGUCAACUCCCGAGAGCGGCCAGUUCGCCCGAGGCAGCCUGGCGCACCGGACACUGUCCGGUGCACCACCGGACAGUCCGGUGCCCCAGACCGAAACAGCCUUUUGGCUGUACAUAGCCAACUCUCCUCUUUUCUUCUUCUUCCUGUUUCUGAUUCUUAGACAAGUAUAUUAGUACACAAAACCAAUGUACUAAGACUUAGAAACAUACCUUUGCUCUAGAUUUGCACUUUGUUCAUCUAUGGGCAUUGAUUCACAUUUAAGCACUUGUGUUGACACUCAAUCACCAAAAUACUUAGAAAUGGCCCAAGGGCACAUUUCCCUUUCAAUCUCCCCCUUUUUGGUGAUUUAUGCCAACACAACAUAAAGCAACUAGAACAAGUGCAAUAUUACUUCAAAUAAAAUAAAUUUGAGUUUUAUUCAAUUUUGGCAUAUAUGGAUCAUCCUUUGCCACCACUUGGUUUGUUUUUGCAAAUCAAACUCAAAUCUCUAUCUCUAAGUCAAACACACAUGUUGAAGCAUAAAGAGAGUCAUUCCAAAAGAGAUUGAUCAAAGAUUUCAAAAACUCCCCCUACUUCCCAUAGUCAAAACUUCUCCCCACAAGAAGCCAACUUUUGACGAAAGAGACAAUGCAAGAGUUUUGACAAACCAAAAGCUCUAUCCUACUAUUUUCAAAGUUUCUCAAGUGGUAGCUGAUCCAUUUAUUGCUUUGGCCUUUAUUUUCUCCCCCUUUGGCAUCAAGCACCAAAACGGGAUCAAUCUUGGCCCUUUAACCCCAUUGCCUCACCAAAAUCUUCAAUUAAGAGCAAAUAGGCAAUAAGAGUUUAAAGAUGAACUUGGAAUAAGUUACCCUAUCAUCGGAGUGCAGUGGAAGUCUUUCAUGGUCCAAGUCCACCUUUUCCCUUUCAAUUCCUCCUUCGAGACUAAAUCAUCAACUCAAGCACAUGGUUAGUCUCAAAGGGUCAAGUUGUAACACAUCUCCCCCUAAACAUGUGCAUCACUUUGCAACGGACUUGUGAGGUCCAGGGAGUGUUUGUACAACUUGAGCACCAUAAUAAGCAACAAAAUGCAGAAAGGAACAUGAUCAAAAGCAUAAAUAUAAGUAUGCUACAAUUCAAUCCAAGUUCCGCGAAUCUAAGACAUUUAGCUCACUACGCAGCCUGCAAAAGGUCUUCUCAUCUAGAGGCUUGGUAAAGAUAUCGGCUAGCUGGUUCUCGGUGCUAACAUGAAACACUUCGAUAUCUCCCUUUUGCUGGUGGUCUCUCAAAAAGUGAUGCCGGAUGUCUAUGUGCUUUGUGCGGCUGUGCUCAACAGGAUUUUCCGCCAUGCGGAUAGCACUCUCAUUAUCACAUAGGAGUGGGAUUUUGCUCAGAUUGUAGCCAAAGUCCCUGAGGGUUUGCCUCAUCCAAAGCAGUUGCGCGCAACACUGUCCUGCGGCAACGUACUCGGCCUCAGCGGUGGAUAGGGCAACAGAAGUUUGUUUCUUAGAGUUCCAUGACACUAGGGACCUUCCUAAGAAUUGGCACGUCCCCGAUGUGCUCUUCCUAUCGACCUUACAUCCAGCAUAGUCGGAGUCUGAGUAUCCAACCAAGUCAAAGGUAGACCCCUUUGGAUACCAGAGUCCGAAGCAAGGCGUAGCAACCAAAUAUCUAAGAAUUCACAUCACCGCCACUAAGUGACACUCCUUAGGAUCGGAUUGAAAUCUAGCACACAUGCAUACGCUAAGCAUAAUAUCCGGUCUACUAGCACAUAAAUAAAGUAGAGACCCUAUCAUUGACCGGUAUGCUUUUUGAUCAACGGACUUACCUCCUUUGUUGAGGUCGGUGUGUCCGUCGGUUCCCAUCGGAGUCUUUGCGGGCUUGGCGUCCUUCAUCCCAAACCGCUUUAGCAGAUCUUGCGUGUACUUCGUUUGGGAGAUGAAGGUGCCGUCCUUGAGUUGCUUCACUUGGAACCCAAGGAAGUAGUUCAACUCGCCCAUCAUCGACAUCUCGAAUUUCUGAGUCAUUACCCUGCUAAACUCUUCACAAGACUUUUGGUUAGUAGAACCAAAUAUUAUGUCAUCGACAUAAAUUUGGCACACAAACAAAUCACCAUCACAUGUCUUAGUGAACAGAGUUGGAUCGGCUUUCCCAACCUUGAAAGCAUUAGCAAGUAAAAAGUCUCUAAGGCAUUCAUACCAUGCUCUUGGGGCUUGCUUAAGUCCAUAGAGCGCCUUAGAGAGCUUACACACGUGGUCGGGGUACCGUUCAUCCUCGAAGCCAGGGGGUUGCUCUACGUACACCUCCUCCUUGAUUGGCCCAUUGAGGAAAGCGCUCUUCACAUCCAUUUGGUACAACCUGAAAGAAUGGUGAGCGGCAUAUGCUAGCAAGAUACGAAUUGAUUCUAGCCUGGCCACAGGAGCAAACGUCUCCUCAAAGUCCAAACCUGCGACUUGGGCAUAACCUUUUGCCACAAGUCGAGCCUUGUUCCUCGUCACCACCCCAUGCUCGUCCUGUUUGUUGCGGAACACCCACUUGGUUCCCACAACAUUUUGCUUGGGACGAGGCACCAGUGUCCAAACUUCAUUGCGCUUGAAGUUGUUGAGUUCCUCCUGCAUGGCUAACACCCAGUCCAGAUCUAGCAAGGCCUCUUCUACCCUGAAAGGCUCAAUAGAAGAGACAAAGGAGUAAUGCUCACAAAAAUUAACUAAUCGAGAUCGAGUAGUUACUCCCUUGCUAUUAUCACCCAGAAUUUGGUCGACGGGAUGAUCCCUUUGAAUCAUCGCUCGAACUUGGGUUGGAGGUGCCGGUUGCGCUUCUUCCUCCAUCACGUGAUCAUCUUGUGCUCCCCCUUGAUCACACGCCUCCUUUUGAUGAACCUGUUCAUCGUCUUGAGUUGGGGGAUGCACCGUUGUUGAGGAAGAAGGUUGAUCUCGUUCAUCUUGUUCCUGUGGCCGCACUUCUCCAAUCGUCAUGGUUCGUAUAGCAGCCGUCGGAACAUCUUCUUCAUCUACAUCAUCACAAUCAACAACUUGCUCUCUUGGAGAGCCAUUAGUCUCAUCAAAUACAACGUCGCUAGAGACUUCAACCAAACCCGAUGAUUUGUUGAAGACUCUAUACGCCUUUGUAUUUGAGUCAUAACCUAACAAAAACCCUUCUACAGCUUUGGGAGCAAACUUAGAAUUUCUACCCUUCUUCACUAGAAUGUAGCAUUUGCUCCCAAAUACACGAAAGUAAGAUACAUUGGGUUUGUUACCGGUUAGAAGCUCAUACGACGUCUUCUUGAGGAGGCGGUGAAGGUAGACCCUGUUGAUGGCGUGACAAGCCGUGUUCACGGCUUCCGACCAAAAGCACUCGGGGGUCUUGAACUCUCCAAGCAUCGUCCUCGCCAUAUCAAUGAGUGUCCUGUUUUUCCUCUCUACCACAGCAUUUUGUUGUGGUGUGUAGGGAGCGGAGAACUCGUGCUUGAUCCCUUCCUCCUCAAGGAACUCCUCCACUUGAAGGUUCUUGAACUCGGAUCCGUUGUCGCUCCUUAUCUUCUUCACCUUGAGCUCAAACUCAUUUUGAGCUCUCCUGAGGAAGCGCUUGAGGGUCCCUUGGGUUUCAGACUUAUCCUGCAAAAAGAACACCCAAGUGAAGCGGGAAAAGUCAUCAACAAUAACUAGACCAUACUUACUCCCUCCUAUGCUCAGAUAGGCGACAGGUCCGAAAAGGUCCAUAUGCAGCAGCUCCAGGGGUCUUGAAGUGGUCAUCACAUUCUUGCUGUGAUGCGCUCCUCCCGCUUGUUUACCUGCUUGACAAGCUGCACAAGGUCUAUCUUUUUCGAAUUGCACGUUAGUCAAACCUAUCACGUGUUCUCCCUUUAGAAGCUUGUGAAGGUUCUUCAUCCCCACAUGUGCUAAGCGGCGAUGCCACAGCCAGCCCAUGCUAGUCUUAGCUAUUAAGCAUGCAUCUAGACCGGCCUCUUCUUUUGCAAAAUCAACUAAAUAAAGUUUGUCGUCUAAUACACCCUUAAAAGCUAGUGAACCAUCACUUCUUCUAAAGACAGACACAUCUACAUUUGUAAAUAGACAGUUAUACCCCAUGUUGCAUAAUUGACUAACAGAUAGCAAAUUAUAUCCAAGAGACUCUACUAAAAACACAUUAGAUAUGGAGUGCUCAUUAGAAAUUGCAAUUUUACCUAACCCUUUUACCUUGCCUUGAUUCCCAUCACCGAAUAUAAUUGAAUCUUGGGAAUCCUUAUUCUUGACGUAGGAGGUGAACAUCUUCUUCUCCCCCGUCAUAUGGUUUGUGCAUCCGCUAUCAAUAAUCCAGCUUGAACCCCCGGAUGCAUAAACCUGCAAGGCAAAUUUAGGCUUGGGUCUUAGGUACCCAACUCAUGUUGGGUCCUAUAAGGUUAGUGCAAAUAUCCUUAGGGACCCAAAUGCAAGUUUUGUCUCCCUUGCAUUUUGCCCCUAACUUCCUGGCAAUUAUUUUCCUAUCCUUUCUACAAAUAGCAAAGGAAGCAUUUAAAGCACAAUAAAUUGUAGAAGGUUCAUUCACUACUUUCCUAGGAGCAUGAAUAAUAUUCUUUUUAGGCACAUGAUGAAUAGCAUUUCUCCUAGAUAUAUUUCUACCAUGCAUAUAGGAAGAACUAGAAGCAAACAUGGCAUGAGAGUCAAAAUCAUCAUAAGCAUUAUGAUUCCUAUAAGCAUUUCUAGUUUGUCUCCUAUCAUGAUACAUAAAAGCAUGGUUCCUUUUAGUACUACUUGCCAUAGGGGCCUUCCCUUUCUCCUUGGCGGAGAUGGGAGCCUUAUGGCUUGUUAAGUUCUUGGCUUCCCUCUUGAAGCCAAGUCCAUCCUUAAUUGAGGGGUGUCUACCAAUCGUGUAGGCAUCCCUUGCAAAUUUUAGCUUAUCAAAAUCAUUCUUGCUAGUCUUAUUUUGAGCAUUAAGACUAGCCAAUUCAUCAUUAAGCUUGGAAAUUGAAACUAGGUGUUCACUACACGCAUCAAUGUCAAAGUCUUUACACCUAGUACAAAUUACAACAUGUUCUACACAAGAAUUGGAUUUAUUUGCCACUUCUAAUUUAGCAUUUAAAUCAUUGUUGACACCUUCCAAAGUAGAAAUGGUUUCAUGACAAGUAGAUAGUUCAAAAGAAAGCAUUCCAUUUCUCUUAAUCUCUAAUGCAAGUGAUUUUUGUGCUUCUACAAAUUUGUCAUGUUCUUCAUACAACAAAUCCUCUUGCUUUUCUAAAAGCCUAUUCUUAUCAUUCAAGGCAUCAAUCAAUUCAUUAAUUUUAUCUAUCUUAGAUCUAUCUAAGCCCUUGAACAAGCAUGAAUAAUCUAUGUCAUCAUCGUCACUAGACUCAUUAUCACUAGAAGAAGUAUAAGUGGAGUCUUGAGUACUCACCUUCUUCUCCCUUGCCAUAAGGCAUGUGUGAUGCUCGUUGGGGAAGAGGGAUGACUUGUUGAAGGCAGUGGCGGCGAGUCCUUCAUUGUCGGAGUCGGACGAGGAGCAGUCUGAAUCCCACUCCUUGCCGAGAUGAGCUUCGCCCUUUGCCUUCUUAUAAUUCUUCUUCUUCUCCCUCUUGUUCCCUUGGUCUUGAUCACUAUCAUUGUCAGGACAGUUAGCAAUAAAAUGACCAAGCUUACCGCAUUUGAAACAUGAGCGCUUUCCCUUGGUCUUGGUCUUGCUUGGUUGUCCCUUGCGAUCUUUUAGCGCCGUCUUGAAUCUUUUGAUGAUGAGGGCCAUCUCUUCAUCAUUAAGUCCGGCCGCCUCAAUUUGCGCCACCUUGCUAGGUAGCGCCUCCUUGCUCCUUAUUGCCUUGAGAGCAAUGGGUUGAGGCUCAUGGGUUGGACCAUUCAAUGCGUCGUCCACGUACCUUGCUUCCUUGAUCAUCAUUCGCCCGCUUACAAAUUUUCCAAGAACUUCUUCGGGCGACAUCUUGGUGUACCUAGGAUUUUCACGAAUAUUGUUCACCAAAUGAGGAUCAAGAACGGUAAAGGACCUUAGCAUUAGGCGGACAACGUCGUGGUCCGUCCAUCGCGUGCUUCCGUAGCUCCUUAUUUUGUUGAUAAGGGUCUUGAGCCUGUUGUAAGUUUGGGUUGGCUCUUCUCCCCUUAUCAUUGCGAAUCGUCCAAGCUCGCCCUCCACCAACUCCAUUUUAGUGAGCAUGGUGAUGUCGUUCCCUUCGUGAGAGAUCUUGAGGGUGUCCCAUAUCUGCUUGGCGUUGUCUAGGCCGCUCACCUUAUUGUACUCUUCCCUGCACAAAGAUGCUAAUAGAACAGUAGUAGCUUGUGCAUUUCUAUGGAUUUGUUCAUUUAUAAGCAUAGGGCUAUCCGAGCUAUCAAAUUUCAUUCCAUUCUCUACAAUCUCACAUAUGCUUGGAUGGAGAGAGAAUAAGUGACUACGCAUUUUGUGACUCCAAAAUCCGUAGUCUUCCCCAUCGAAGUGUGGAGGUUUGCCAAGAGGAAUGGAAAGCAAAUGCGAAUUCGAACUAUGUGGAAUACGAGAAUAAUCAAAUGAAAAGUUCGAAUUGACCGUCUUCCUGUAGUCGUUGUCGUCGUCCUUUUGGGAAGAAGUCGACUCAUCGCUAUCGUCGUAGUAGACGAUCUCCUUGAUGCGCCUUGUCUUCUUCUUCUUCCCAUCUUUACGCUUGUGGCCCGAGCCCGAGUCAGUAGGCUUGUCAUCCUUCGGCUCGUUGACGAAGGACUCCUUCUCCUUGUCGUUGAUCACGAUUCCCUUCCCCUUAGGAUCCAUCUCUUCGGGCGAUUAGUCCCUUCUUGAAGAGAACAGCUCUGAUACCAAUUGAGAGCACCUAGAGGGGGGGGUGAAUAGGUGAUCCUGUGAAACUUAAACUUAUAGCCACAAAAACUUGUUAAGUGUUAGCACAAUAAUCACCAAGUGGCUAGAGAUGAGUCUCAACAAAACACAAUACCACAAAAGAUCAACACAGAGAAGACACAGUGGUUUAUCCCGUGGUUCGGCCAAGUACAAAACUUGCCUACUCCACGUUGUGGCGUCCCAACGGACGAGAGUUGCACUCAACUCCUCUCAAGUGAUCCAAUGAUCAACUUGAAUACCACAGUGUUAUGCUUUUCCUUUCAAUAUCCCGUUUGCGAGGAAUCUCCACAACUUGGAGCCUCUCGCCCUUACACUUAAGAUUCACAAAGAAAUACGGAGUAAGGGAGAAACUAGCAACGCACACAAGACUCAAAAUCAGAGCAACAGCACGCACACAAGUCGCAACAAGAGCUCGCAACACAACUCAAUGAGUCCACAACUCAACAAGAGCUCUAGAUGCUAUCACAAUGAACCAAAUGCGUGGAAUCGAUGUCUUGGUGCUUAGGAAUGUUGUAGGAAUGCUUGGUGUCCUCUUCCAUGCGCCUAGGGGUCCCUUUUAUAGCCCCAAGGCAGCUAGGAGCCGUUGAGAACAAAUCCAGAAGGCCAUCCUUGCCUUCUGUCGUCGGGCGCACCGGACAGUCCGGUGCACACUGGACACUGUCCGGUGCACACUGGACACUGUCCGGUGCCCGAUUUCCUUCCUUAAACAGCGCAGUCGACCGUUGCAGGUCUGGGAGCCGUUGGCGCACCGGACAUGUCCGGUGCACACCGGACAGUCCGGUGCCCCCUUCCGACCGUUGGCUCGGCCACGUGUCCCGCGCAGAUCGCGCGGCCGACCGUUGGCCCGGCCGACCGUUGGCUCACCGGACAGUCCGGUGCACACCGGACAGUCCGGUGAAUUUUAGCCGUACGUCGCCAGUCAACUCCCGAGAGCGGCCAGUUCGCCCGAGGCAGCCUGGCGCACCGGACACUGUCCGGUGCACCACCGGACACUGUCCGGUGCACCACCGGACAGUCCGGUGCCAUAGACCGAAACAGCCUUUUGGCUGUACAUAGCCAACUCUCCUCUUUUCUUCUUCUUCCUGUUUCUGAUUCUUAGACAAGUAUAUUAGUACACAAAACCAAUGUACUAAGACUUAGAAACAUACCUUUGCUCUAGAUUUGCACUUUGUUCAUCCAUGGGCAUUGAUUCACAUUUAAGCACUUGUGUUGACACUCAAUCACCAAAAUACUUAGAAAUGGCCCAAGGGCACAUUUCCCUUUCAAACAUGUUCUACACAAGAUGUUGAUUUAUUAGCUAUUUCUAACUUAGCAUUCAAAUCAUCAUUUGUGCUCUUUAAGCUAGAAAUGGAGUCAUGGCAUGUAGACAAUUCACAAGAAAGCAUUUCAUUCCUUUUAAUUUCUAAAGCAAGGGAUUUUUGUGCCUCUACAAACUUAUCAUGUUCUUCAUACAAAAGAUCCUCUUGCUUUUCUAAUAACCUAUUUUUAUCAUUCAAGGCAUCAAUUAAUUCAUUAAUCUUAUCAACCUUAGUUCUAUCUAGGCCCUUGAAUAAGCAUGAAUAGUCUAUCUCAUCAUCGCUAGAUUCUUCAUCACUUGAGGAAGCGUAAGUACUAGUAUCACGAGUGCUUACCUUCUUUUCCCUUGCCAUGAGGCAGGUGUGAUGCUCAUUGGGGAAGAGGGCCGACUUGUUGAAGGCGGUGGCGGCGAGUCCUUCGUUGUCAGAGUCGGACGACGAACAAUCCGAGUCCCACUCCUUUCCAAGGUGUGCCUCGCCCUUAGCUUUCUUGUAAGCCUUCUUCUUUUCCCUCUUGUUCCCUUGUUCCUGGUCACUAUCAUUAUCGGGACAAUUAGCGAUAAAAUGACCAAUCUUACCACAUUUGAAGCAUGAGUGCUUCCCCUUUGUCUUGGUCUUGUUGGGAUGCUCCUUGCGACCCCUUAGCGCCGUCUUGAAGCGCUUGAUGAUGAGGGCCAUUUCUUCAUCAUUAAGUCCGGCCGCCUCAACUUGUGUUACCUUGCUAGGUAGCGCCUCCUUGCUCCUUGUUGCUUUGAGAGCAACGGUUUGAGGCUCAUGGAUUGGACCGUUCAACGCAUCGUCAACGUAUCUUGCCUCCUUGAUCAUCAUCCGCCCGCUUACAAACUUUCCAAGUAUCUCCUUGGGCGUCAUCUUGGUGUACCUAGGAUUCUCACGAAUAUUGUUCACAAGAUGUGGAUCAAGGAUAGUAAAAGACCUUAGCAUUAGGCGGACGACGUCGUGGUCCGUCCAUCGCGUGCUUCCAUAACUCCUUAUUUUGUUGACGAGGGUCUUGAGCCGGUUGUAUGUUUGGGUUGGCUCCUCGCCCCUGAUCAUUGCAAAUCUCCCAAGUUCGCCCUCCAAUAACUCCAUCUUGGUGAGCAUGGCGACGUCAUUUCCCUCAUGAGAGAUCUUGAGGGUGUCCCAAAUCUUCUUGGCGUUAUCCAAGCCGCUCACCUUAUGGUAUUCAUCCCUGCACAAAGAUGCUAGAAGAACAAUAGUAGCUUGUGCAUUUUUGUGAAUUUUCUCAUUGAUAAAUGUGGGACUAUCAGUACUAUCAAAUUGCAUUCCACUCUCUACUAUCUCCCAUAUGCUUGGAUGGAGAGAGAACAAGUGACUACGCAUUUUGUGACUCCAAAAUCCGUAGUCCUCUCCAUCAAAGUGAGGAGGUUUACCAAGUGGAAUGGAGAGUAAAUGAGCAUUUGUAUUUUGCGGAAUACGAGAAUAAUCAAAAGAAAAGUUUGAAUUGACCGUUUUCUUUUUCUCGUAGUUGUCGUCGUCCUUUUGGGAAGAAGAGGACUCGUCACUGUCGUCGUAGUAGACGAUCUCCUUGAUGCGCCUUGUUUUCUUCUUCUUCCCGUCUUUUCUUUUGUGGCUUGAGCCCGAGUCAGUAGGCUUGUCAUCUUUUGGGUCAUUGACGAAGGACUCCUUCUCCUUAUCAUUGACCACCAUCCCCUUGCCCCUAGGAUCCAUCUCUUCGGGCGAUUAGUCCCUUUCUUGAAGAGAACGACUUUGAUACCAAUUGAGAGCACCUAGAGGGGGGUGAAUAGGUGAUCCUGUAAAACUUAAAACUUAACACCAUAAACUUGAUUAAGAGUUAGAACACUGAAAUCAAGUGAGUAGAGAGGAGAGCUCUUGUGAAUCACAAAGGACACAAUAAAGACAAGCACAAGAGACACGAGGAUUUAUCCCGUGGUUCAUCCAAGUACAAAACUUUGCCUACUCCAUGUUGUGGCGUCCCAACGGACGAGAGUUGCACUCAACUCCUCUCAAGUGAUCCAAUGAUCAACUUGAAUACCACGGUGUUCUUCUUUACUUUACUCUUUUCCCGCUUGCGAGGAAUCUCCACAACUUGGAGUCUCUCGCCCGUACAAUAAGAAUCUCAAUGAAGCACUAGAGUAAGGGAGGGAAGCAACACACUCAAAACCACAGCAAAUACGCACACACAAGAUCAAGACUUGAGCUCAAGACAAUAUCUCGAGGUUCUCACUAGAACAGAGCUCAAAUCACUAAGAAUGUCGAACAAGUGCGCAAGAAUAAAGCGUGAGUGAUCAACAAUGCUCAAGGAAUGCUUGGUGUACUCCUCCAUGCGCCUAGGGGUCCCUUUUAUAGCCCCAAGGCAGCUAGGAGCCGUUGAGAGCAUUUCAAGAAGGAAAUUCUUGCCUUCUGUCGCCUGGUGCACCGGACAGUCCGGUGCACCAUCGGACACUGUCCGGUGCGAAUUUCUUUCCUUCUUUGGCGAAGCCGACCGUUGGCGCUUUGGAGCCGUUGGCGCACCGGACACUGUCCGGUGCACACCGGACAGUCCGGUGCCCCUUCUGACCGUUGGCUCUUGCCACACGUCGCAUGCGGAUUAUGCGGUCGACUGUUGGCUCACCGGACAGUCCGGUGCACCAACGGACAGUCCAGUGAUUUAUAGCCGUACGCCGUUAAUUGCUUCCCGAGAGCAGUCAGUUGACAGUCGCCGGCCUGGCGCACCGGACACUGUCCGGUGCACCCAAACCGAGCUAUCUAUGGCUGAACAAAGCCGUCUCUUUUCCAACUUGAUUUCUCCUGUUUCCAGCACUUAGACACAAUACAUUAGUCUCCAAAACAAUGUACUAAGUCUUAGAAACAUACCUUUUUACUUGAUUUGCACUUUAUCCAUCACUUUGCAUAGAUUAACAUUAGUCCACUUGUGUUGGCACUCAAUUACCAAAAUACUUAGAAAUGGCCCAAGGGCACAUUUCUCUUUCAAUUAUACCUCCUAGUUAUGAUAGGAUAAAUGCUUCCGACGAAGAUCAACGAUGUAUAUGCUUAAACUAUCUAGCUUAUGACAUCUUAAGUAAUUCUCUUAGCAAUGAAGAUUAUCGUGCCUUCAUAUCAAAUUAUAAUGAAUCUAUUCAUGAUGCACAUGAUAUUUCGACUAGAAUUAAAAUCAAAUUUGAUGAGUCCAAACAUGAUAGUUCAUUUUGUGCUUCUACUUCCUUUGGUAUUUGCGAAACUAACCCUUUGAAGGAAGAGGAGGAAAAUGAACGAUGGAGACCAAACGAUGAAUCCACCUCUCCAAAAGGUUUGUCUUCCCAUUUCGAUUCCUACAUAUGUUGUGUGGCUAAUGAAAAUGAUAGCGGAAGCACAAACGAGGAUGAGGAGGAAGAAAGAAGCUUCAUGCAACUCUAUGCUCGCCUAAGCCAAGAAGAUAAGGCGGUCAUGCUCAAACUUCUAGAAAGAGCGAGAGAGCAAAGCGAAGCUCGUCAAAGGCUAGAAAAUGUUCUCUCCAUGAAAAUGCUCCACUUUGACGAGUUGACUAAAGAACAUGAGGAGCUAAAGUGCUCUCAUGUUGAUUUGGUCCAAAGGUAUGAAACUAUUUCAAUUGAGCAAGAUAACGCUCUACAUUGUAUCGCUCAAUUAGUAAAUAGGAAUGCCUUGCUUAAGGACCAAGUAGAAAAGCUAAAAGAUGAAAAUCUAGCUUUUCAAGAAACAUAUGAUAUGCUCUAUGUUCUCAUGAAAAUCUUAUGGAUGAUCAUAUCAUAUUAAAUAUUACUCAUGAGGUUGUGAUAGAAAACUUAAAAUCCCAACAACCUCACUCAUGCACAUGUAUUCAAAUUGAAACUACAUUACCAUGUGCUAAUGCUUGUUGUCCGUCGACAAGCAAAUCUUCCUUUGAGCUAGAAUUUGCAGGAACAAACGAUGAUACAUAUCAAAAGCUCAAAAAAGAAAAUGAGAGGCUAAAAAUGAGCUUGACUCAACUAAAAGGGAAGUACAUUGCUCAACCUUCUCAAGAUAACUGUGAUCACAUGGUGAAGAAGCUUGAGACGGGAACAACCAUGGCAUGCACUAAAUCCCUUGAAGAAAAUGUCAAGGACUUGAGGAUUGUCAAGAGGAAGGAACAAAAGAAGAAAAUCAAUACCUCUUCCAAAAGCCUCAACCACGCCUCCAUAAAAGGUAACAUCCAAGGUAAUAAUCAAGUCACACUUCAUACUAAGAGAGGUAAGAAGUGUAGUGAAUGCUUUGAAAAGGGACACUCGAUUAGGUCAUGUCCUUAUAUUAAAAAUGACUUGAUUACUAACAAGGAUGAUAAACUUUGUUUUAAAUGCUCAAAGAAGGGACACUUAAUUAAGUCUUAUCCCUAUUUAAAACAAAAAGGCAUAAUGUUAGAAAAGAAAAUAUUAACUAACCAUGUAGCAAGCAAGAAACAAGGAAAGAAGAAAUCUUCAAAACUUGAAGAUCGCCUUUGCUACAUAUGCCGAAAGAAGGGACAUCAAUGCAAGGAUUGUCCCAUUGGUAACUAUCCCUCCUCUAGCUUGUCAAUUAUUUCUCAUGUAACUAGGCAACCCAAAAUUGCAACUUGUGCUAGAAAGGUAAUGAGUUUACCAAGUGCUAACACAAAGGACUCUUGGGUUCCUAGAUCUUUGUUGACAAACCUUGAUGGAUCCAUCAAGCGAUGGGUACCAAAAUAUGCUUGACAAGCUUUGCAGGAGAAGGAGAUGGUAUGAAGAUUUGGGGUGCUUGAGAGAAUCAAUUCAAUUUUUAUUAACUCAAGUUAUCAAUCCUCAAUGAUCUAUAUCCAAGAUUGACCCAAAGUUAUUUUGAAUUGUUAUAUCUAAAACUCAUAUCAUCUCGAGAAAGAUAUUGAUGUUGUAGGAAUUAAAGAAUUAAUCAUAUGCCGAAAAGUCGAGGCCUGCAACAUGGAGGAAAAUCAAAGGAUGGUAACAAUUAUGCUUUUAAGUGCAAGUACCUUAAAUUAUCAUUUCUUAUGUGUCUUGUGAAAAAAGAAAGCACUUCAAAUGUUUUUAAAUUAUGUCACCAUUCCUUGAAGACAUUCCUCUCAUAUGGUAGAUUGUAUAUUCAUCAUUUCUAUACCAUGGCAAUCUACAUGCUUUAAAUUGUUGUAAGUACCCCAUGGCAUGUUUUACUCUAAUUAUCUUAUUAUUGCCAUGAUUCUAGAUAUAGAGAGAUAUUCCAAGUUCCUAAAAGAAUAAGGUGUCAUGUAAGGAAUUCAAAUCCUUAGGACACUUAUAAAAAGAAAAUUCUCUCUAUAACUAGAAUAGUGAGACUAAUGCUUUUAUUUAAGUAACCCAUGUAGUCUCACUAGUAGAGAAUAAGUUUCUCUUUGGAAGUGCGCAAUAUAACAUAAAAAGAAAAAUCAAUCCAAUGACUUAUGUUGUUGUGCUUCUUGCUUAUAUUGGAUAUGAUUCUUCUACAUUCAUCGCUCUCCAUGAUUGAAUUAGAUUUGUUCCCAUUAUCUUAAAGAAUUAACUAUGCUUGUUUCAUAAGUUAAAACUAAGCAUAUAUCAUGGAAUAAUCUAGUUCAUAUUAUAAAGUUUCCAUGCUUUAGUAAUCCACUUUUCAAUAUUGUCAAAAUGAUUACAAAAAGGGAAACUUGUGCUUGUGUUACUAACCAUGUAUCUCUUGAGCUUACUUAUGGAAAUCUACAAAAGAGAAAGUGCAUGUCUAAAGUCACAAGCCUCUAGGGUUACUCUUCACCCUAAGGAAGAAAGAUAAAAGCAAAGGUAUGGGAACUCUUUUUCCCAUCAAUGGAUAUUUACUCUUAAUUAUCUUAUUCUAUCUAUGUAAAGAAUAGAUUCUUUAUUAGACUUAAUUUUUGCUAGGUGUGCAUUCAAUCUCGUUCUCAUAAAUACACUAGUCCAUUAGAAUCUAUUUCAUGCCUUUACUAUAUCUAUUCUCAUAUUGAUGUGCUUUUAAGAUGUGAUAAUAAAAUCAAUAUGAAGAAGUAAAAAUCCAUAUGAUUGAUCAAAAUAUUUAAAAGGUGUUUAUUCCUCCUUUUUAAAUAAUAUGCACUAAUGUUAAGGAUUUUACUUCAUAUCUAUGUGACUAGUGGAUGAUGAAUUACUUACAUUUAUUAUCAAAAAGAAAUCAUCUUUCACCUUUUACUCUCUUGUGCUAUUAACAUCUCUCUUGAAGUAUUUUCAAUAAGUUUGGAAGGAAAAAGAGUCAACUACAAGGGAGGUCACUCAAAUGAAAAGGGAGGACAUCAAGAACAACAACACCUACUUGGAUAAUGAGAUCCUCAAAAUAUCAAUGGUGUGGUUGUAAGCAUUCUAAAUCUUUUUCAUUGUGAGAAUACUAGGCAUAAAAUGUUUAUUGCAAAUUUUAUAAGCCUUGAUCAAUAUGAAUAAUGAUUCUCCCUAUUUGUCUUUAAAAGUGAGUGCAUCUAUCCAAUUCAUUCAUUUUCUUGAUGCAUAUCUUUAGGGGGAGCCUAUUUCUAUAUCUUAAUUAUAUUGAGACUAACACUUUAUCUUAGUGAUCUCAUAUAGUCUCAAGUAUGAGAGUAAAGUUUCUCAUGAAGUAUGCUACUACAUAUCAAUCCAUCUUGGUAAAGUAAUGACACCCUUAUCAAGGAUUGUAACUUUCAUUGCUAAAGUAGCAUAUUUACUGGAUUCUCCUCUUUCAAAGCUUAUCUAAUGCAUAUGUUGUUCUUUUGAUCACAUCUGUUAUUUGUUUGAUCAUUGAAUAAACACUUAUGUUUCUUAGUGCCGCAUAUUCUAUCAAUCAAUAUCUCUUGAUAUGCACUAAGUUAAAAGGAGAAUUCAUGAUACAAUUAUGCAAUUUGUGAUCCACUUGAUAUAAAAUAACAAUGAUUUAGAAAAGGAUCACUAGUUGUAGAACCCUCUCUUGUGCAAAAUAUUUCCAUACGCUGUCUUGAAUAUAGGUCUUAAAGUAACUAAGACUAAGGACAAAGCACAAUGAAGAGAGCGUCUCUAUGUGAAGGUACAAAAGGGUAAAACUACUUCCUCUCAUUUUUACAUGUACCUACAUCUUCCUUUUCUAUACAUUCCUUGCUUAUCUUGUAUAAAAGGAAGAGAAAGCAUGUCUAGGCAAUAUCCAUGCUUCAUACAUUUCAUUCCUGCAUUUAUGCAAUUUUGUUACAACUAGGUGAAGUGAGUUUAUUGUCAAAGAGCUUAAAGCUUAACCUUGUAACGAGGAUAAGCUACCUUUGUUUCAAAGGCGGAGGGUCCUUAAGUCUCUUUGAAAUCCUUAAGGGUGAUUGCUUAAAAUGUUUUCAACAUGCUUUCAUAAGUGCAUAGUCUGUCAUGAGCAUCACACUUUUAUUAUGACACAUUGCACUUCACAGGUUCUAUAAAGGUAUGUUCUCAUUAACCUAAUUAUGUGCACUUGGCAUUUAAGGCCAAAAUUUGUAUUCCUCUCAACGCACAAAUUUAGGGGGAGCAAUCUAUAGAACUGUUUAAGCUUAAUUGACAUAUCCUUUUAACCAUGUCUCUUUCCUUUGGUGCAUUUGCAUAUUUCCUAUCUCUCUUGUGCCAAGGCUAAGACUAAUAUGUUUCCAUGAGUAUCUUGUAUAUUAGGUCUUAGAUUGAAAGGGAAAUGGAGUAUUCGGCAAAGACAUCGCUUCCACUCUACAUCUUUGAUAUUAUCCUUCCUUGCCAGUAUUUCGCCAUCUCUCCAAAUUUGGUAUAAUCUUAACUCAUACAUUAUCUAUCAAAGGGGGAGAAAGUAUGAACAAGGGCUUAUAUUUCACUCACAAGUAUUCGUUUUUGGCGAUUCAUGCCAAAGAGGGAGAAAGUAUUAGCCCAAAGCAAAAGUACCGCACCACCACCAAUUUCAAAAAUUAUAGUCUUUCAAUUUGCAUUUAAAGAAGUAUUUUUAAUUGAUAUCUUAUUUUUUAUACAAUUUCAAAUUGGUAUAACCUCUCUUAAAAUUAAUAUCUAAAACCAUCUUGAACACUAAGAGGAGGAUUUUAUUGAGGGGGAGUUUUGUCUAGUCAAAGGAAAAUCAUUUGAAACAAGGGGAGAAAAUUUCAAAUCUUGAAAAUGCUUCUCAAAAUCUAUGGAGACAAACCUAUUGUACUCUAAGAUCAAGUUGGCAAGUAGCCAUAUGAGCCCAAAGGGGUGAGGCACAAAGCAUUGCAUCCAUGGAAAUAUUACAUUGAUAAGUUGGGUUGUAACCCAACAUUUAAUCAGACUCAACAACAUGAUAAAACUACAUUAUAUAGUGUUUUCAUACCACACCAAGCCCGAUUAGACCCACUAUACACAAACUCAAUAAACAAUUGGUCCUACAAGUACUAGAACCCAAAAAAAUCCAUUAAAAACAUCCACAGCCAAGCAUAUAGAAAUAUAUGAUAGUAAUAGCUCAGAGAUUUGAAAAACAUCGCAUAAAAAACAUUAUGACGAUAGGUAUACAAAACAAGUACAUUAGUAGCUUCACUUGCAUAAUAACUUCAAUAACAACCACAUCAAGAAACCAAUAUUAAAUAGAAGUAACUUAUCAUAUCAAACAUUAAGUCAUUAAUGACAUAUCCCAUCAAACCAUAAAGGGAUUUGGAGUAAGGGAAUUCUAGUCAUCUAUACAAUAAAAUACUAAUAUGAAAGAUAUACGAACCCAUACCCUUCCUAUAUGUGCAAGUGUGUCAAAUUUAUCUUCAAAUUGCGUAGAAUCUAAAGCCUAUUCUCUGAUACCAAUUGUAACACCCCGGGAUCCACAAACACCCCGGAAUGCCACUGAACUACACUUUUGACAUCCGUAUAUAAAUUUUGGCAACAUCUCGUUUGCAAAAUUGCAUAAAUGAGGGGGCAACAGUGUAUAAACAUAUAUCAUGACAAAAAACAUACUAAGUAUUAUUAAUUGGCUAGCAAAGGGAAGUUAAACAUACGACAUGAACUGAAUUAACCAGUGUGCACAACUAGUUAAAAAACAAACAUCCUCUGACAACAAGUUUCUAAUUAAAUCAUGGCUGCGCCUGGACAGCGUUAUUAUGAGAGUGAAAGUGGACGUGCUGCUACUCCCCUCAUUCCCAACAUGUAUCAAGUACCUGCAUUGAGUAAUGCAAGAGUAAGAUGACACAUCUCAGCAAGUAAAAUAAUAACAAACUGUUUAACCACAUAAGAACAUUGUUUUACCACCACUUAAUUUCACAACCUUCUUAUUACGAAGGUGCAGCACGAAUACAACGUACAGCACGCCUAGUUACCACACAUCGCAGGUAGAAACCACAAUAGUAACAUAGUAAUGCAACACUUCAUAUAUACCUCAUGAGUGCAAAUGUCUUCAAAUACAAUGAUGACUUCUGCCUUCAUACCUCUAAGGAUAUGAAACCGCAUCGUACCCCUCCUCGGGCAACGUACGAUGCUAAAAGUGUACCGGUACGGUCGGACCAUAAGAUCACGACAUAACUUCAACAUGCAAGAUGGAUGAUGCGAUGUGCAUGACAUGCCUACAACACUUCAUAUAACGUGAUUCAAAAAGAUACUCCAACUUCAUCCAAGAUGGGAAUCAACCACAUAUAUCAUUCCCAAAUCAUGAUCAUCCGCAAUAUUAGACAAUUGAGAAUUAAUACUUUCGAACAAAUAAACUUCAUCAUAGAAUUCAAUGAUUAACACAUUUAAUAUUUAUGCAUACUCAAUGACAAGGCAUAUGAUGCAAACCAAACGGUAGCAACCACCACUGUAUUUACUUGCCUUCACCGGGAAUUUGGAAUGGUACUAAGUACGAUCCGGAAGUCCACCACCUGUUUUUGACACAUAUCUUAGUACACAAAUCAACAUAACAAAUGCUAAUAAACAACGCCGCACCUACGCACAAUUCCAACCCGUCGCGAGCGACAACUCUCCCCAUCACCACCAAACUGCAGCGACGCUGCUUGAUAAUUUCAUAACUUUAAAAUUAUAACAGCAGUGAUAUCAAUAAAAAACUCCGGAAGCAUUUACAUAAAAUUUCCCACAAGUUUUAUAUUCAAAUGGUAAUUAAAUUCCAACCCCUAAUUAGCCCAAAACAGUCCACAAGAUAAACCCUGCAAUCUGUUUUUGGACAGCAGCAUACCCGGAUUCAAACAGCGAUAUCCCCUAAAAUAUAACUCCGAAUCGAGCGCAUAAGUACUCGUUAGAAAGGUAUGACAAAGCUCUACAUGAUUAUCAUAUUGAUUAUCACUAAUUACCCACGAAAAAUCCCCAGAAACUACUAAUACUACUGCUGUUCGCCCACCUGCAAAUCUGUUUUUUUGGACAGCAACAUACCCGUAUUCAAACAGCGAUAUCUCCUAAAAUAUAACUCCGAAUCGAGCGCAUAAGUACUCGUUGGAAAGGUAUGACAAAGCUCUACAUGAUUCUCCCACUGAUUUCCACUAAUUACCCACGAAAAAUGCCCAGAAACUGCUAGAACUACUGCUGUUCGCCCACCCACAAAAUUUCUGGACAACACCUCUACCCAUUCGCAUACGUAAACAUCUAAUCGAUUGAAUUGCAGCACAAAUAAACAAGAGUUAAUCACAAAAUCACCUUGACUUCUCCUCCUUUCCUCUCUCCUUCCUUUAACCAAAUUCCAAAUGGAGAUUUGCACCCACGCGACGUAGAUCAAGCAGGAGGGCUGCACCUAGGAGAGGAGGAGAUGGGGGGCUAGGGUUUGUGGGAUGGUGGCUGCAAGAGUUUGAGGGAGGAGGAGAUGAGAGAGGGGGGCGGCUGCACAAAGGCUAGAGAGAGGGGGGGCUGCACAAGGGGGAGGGGAUUAGAGGGAGGGCGGCUAGGGUUAGGGGGGCUAGUGGGCCGGAUCGAGUUUCACGGCCCAACUCGCUAACACGACAGCUCCCGACCGCAGCGCAUGAGUCUAACCAAAAAUUCUACUGUUUUACUGGUAAAUGCUUCCCAAAAAUUCCAAACCCUUGUAGCAAAGGACCCGGAAGAGAAAACAAAGAAAAAAAAGAAUAAUCUUCUAUUUCUCUUCUUUUUUUUUGAAAAUUGGGUAUCACAGAUCAAUAUGAAUAAUGCUUCUCCCUAUUUGUCUUUAAAAGUGAGUGCAUCUAUCCAAUUCAUUCAUUUUCUUGAUGCAUAUCUUUAGGGGGAGCCUAUUUCUAUAUCUUAAUUAUAUUGAGACUAACACUUUAUCUUAGUAAUCUCAUAUAGUCUCAAGUAUGAGAGUAAAGUUUCUCAUGAAGUAUGCUACUACAUAUCAAUCCAUCUUGGUAUAGUAAUGACACCCUUAUCAAGGAUUGUAACUUUCAUUGCUAAAGUAGCAUAUUUACUGGAUUCUCCUCUUUCAAAGCUUAUCUAAUGCAUAUGUUGUUCUUUUGAUCACAUUUGUUAUUUGUUUGAUCAUUGAAUAAACACUUAUGUUUCUUAGUGCCGCAUAUUCUAUCAAUCAAUAUUUCUUGAUAUGCACUAAGUUAAAAGGAGAAUUCAUGAUACAAUUAUACAAUUUGUGAUCCACUUGAUAUAAAAUAACAAUGAUUUAGAAAAGGAUCACUAGUUGUAGAACCCUCUCUUGUGCAAAAUAUUUCCAUACACUGUCUUGAAUAUAGGUCUUAAAGUAACUAAGACUAAGGACAAAGCACAAUGAAGAGAGCGUCUCUAUGUGAAGGUACAAAAGGGUAAAACUACUUCCUCUCAUUUUUACAUGUACCUAAAUCUUCCUUUUCUAUACAUUCCUCGCUUAUCUUGUAUAAAAGGAAGAGAAAGCAUGUCUAGGCAAUAUCCCUGCUUCAUACAUUUCAUUCCUGCAUUUAUGCAAUUUUGUUACAACUAGGUGAAGUGAGUUUAUUGUCAAAGAGCUUAAAGCUUAACCUUGUAACGAGGAUAAGCUACCUUUGUUUCAAAGGUGGAGGGUCCUUAAGUCUCUUUGAAAUCCUUAAGGGUGAUUGCUUAAAAUGUUUUCAACAUGCUUUCAUAAGUGCAUAGUCUGUCAUGAGCAUCACACUUUUAUUAUGACACAUUGCACUUCACAGGUUCUAUAAAGAUAUGUUCUCAUUAACCUAACUAUGUGCACUUGGCAUUUAAGGCUAAAAUUUAUAUUCCUCUCAACGCACAAAUUUAGGGGGAGCAAUCUAUAGAACUGUUUAAGCUUAAUUGACAUAUCCUUUUAACCAUGUCUCUUUCCUUUGGUGCAUUUGCAUAUUUCCUAUCUCUCUUGUGCCAAGGCUAAGACUAAUAUGUUUUCAUGAGUAUCUUGUAUAUUAAGUCUUAAAUUGAAAGGGAAAUGGAGUUCGGCAAAGACAUCGCUUCCACUCUACAUCUUCGAUAUUAUCCUUCCUUGUCGGUAUUCCGCCAUCUCUCCAAAUUUGGUAUAAUCUUAACUCAUACAUUAUCUAUCAAAGGGGGAGAAAGUAUGAACAAGGGCUUAUAUUUCACUCACAAGUAUCCGUUUUUGGCGAUUCAUGCCAAAGGGGGAGAAAGUAUUAGCCCAAAGCAAAAGUACCGCACCACCACCAAUUUCAAAAAUUAUAGUCUUUCAAUUUGCAUUUAAAGAAGUAUUUUUAAUUGAUAUCUUAUUUUUGAUACAAUUUAAAAUUGGUAUAACCUCUCUUAAAAUUAAUAUCUAAAACCCUCUUGAACACUAAGAGGAUUUUAUUGAGGGGGAGUUUUGUCUAGUCAAAGGAAAAGCAUUUGAAACAGGGAGAGAAAAUUUCAAAUCUUGAAAAUGCUUCUCAAAAUCUUAUUCAUUUACCUUUGACUAUUUUGCAAUAGACUUUGAAAAGAAUUUCCAAAAGAGUUUGCAAAAACAAAACAAGUGGUGCAAGUGUGGUCCAAAAUGUUAAAAUUAAGAAAGCAAUCCUUACAUAUCUUAUGAAAAUGUAAAUUGGUUUAAUUCCAAGCAACCUUUGCACUUAUCUUAUGCAAACUAGUUCAAUUAUGCAUUUACAUAUUUGCUUUGGUUUGUGUUGGCAUCAAUCACCAAAAAGGGGGAGAUUGAAAGGGAAAUAGGGUCAAACCUUUUCCUAUAUGAUUUUGGUGGUUGAAUUGCUCAACACAAAUUAUUGGACUAACUAGUUUGCUCUAGAGUAUAUGUUCUACAGGUACCAAAGGUUUAACUCAAAACCAACACAAAGAUUAAAAAGGGUUCAAGAAGAAAGAUGCAAAGGAAACCGAAGUGCUCUCUGGUCUGGGGCACCGGACUGUCCGGUGCACCACUGGACAGCGUCCGGUGCACCAGGGAGGAACGACUUUAAACUCUUCACCUUCGGGUUUCCCAGGCGCACCUCCGCUAUAAUUCACCGGACUGUCCGGUGUGCCACCGGACUGUCCGGUGAGCCAGCGGAGCAACGACUAUCUACGCGCAACGAUCGACUUUGACAGUGAACAGUGCAGCACAGUACACGCGGCAGAAGUCAGAGCAGAUGGUCAGAGGGGCACCGGACUGUCCGGUGCCGCAUGAGGACAAAGCCUCCAACGAUCGACAAGCUCCAACCCUGACGAACAGGAUGACGUGGUGGCGCACCGGACACUGUCCGGUGGCACACCGGACUGUCCGAUGCACCCAUCGCCAGCAGCCAUCUCCAACGGCUACAUUUUGGUUGGUGGAUAUAAAUACCACCCCAACCGGCCACUUCAAGGUGUGGGAGCCCAAGCAACAUUCCAAGUCAUAUAGUUGACAUAUCCAAGCCCUCCCAACCACCUCUAUUCAUUAAUUCAUCCUAUACACAAGAUUUAGACCACUACACCCCACAUAAGUGCCACAAAAGUGAGAGCAAGCAAAAGAAAGCUUCUCGUGUGAGUUUAGCUCUAGUGCCUUUUGAGAUUCAUUGAGAGAAAGUGUGUGCUACAUCUUGCGUUCAUUUGUGCGUGGAGUUUUGACUCCCAUUGAACUUCCUCCAAAGUUUUGGAGGCUUGUAAAGCUAGCAAGAGACACCAAAGUGUGUGGUGAUCCUUGCGGGGUCUUAAGUGAUCCUUGAGAAGAAGAAGAGCUCGCCGAUCUUGGGGAUCAAUUGAGAGAGGGAAAGGGUUGAAAGAGACCCGUCCUUAGUGAACUCCUCAACGGGGACUAGGCCUUUGAGGGCCGAACCUCGGUAAAACAAAUCACCCGUGUCUCUUGUGUUUAUUGCUUGUGAUUUGUUUGUUCUUUCCCUUUCUAAGUUCUCUUGCGCUACUCUUUGCUAAUAUUAUUGUGUGUUGCUUCAAGAUAAAUUCUCAUUUAGAGAAGCAACUCCUUGCAAGAAAGAACUUGUGCUUAUCUUCUUCUUAUCUAAGCCCUCUUGCAUUAUUCUCCACUAACAUUUCUAGGAGUAUUGCUAUUGAUUAAAAUUCCGCACUCUUUGAAAACAAUACUCGUUGCAAGCAAAGGACUUAGUUUUAUACUCCGAUAAUUGUGUGUCUUGUUCUAACCACUAAUCAAGGGAUCUAGUUGGGGGAUAAAGUUUUUAAUUUUCUGGUUUCGCCUAUCCACCCCCCUCUAGGCGACUUUCAACCCUUUUCCUCUUCCAUGUCCUGCUCUACUCGCCCCUUUGACGUCAUUCAUUAUGACCUUUGAACAUCCCCCAUUUCCAGCAUCUUCGGUAUGAGGUACUAUCUUGUCAUUCUAGAAGACUUCUCUCACUACUUGUGGACCUUUCCCCUCCACCGUAAGUCUGACACCUUCUCCCACCUUUCUAACUUCUUCACGUGGGUGUCGACUCAGUUCGAUCAUUCCAUCCAGGUUGUUUAGUGUGACAAUGGACAUGAGUUUGAUAACUCUUCGUCUCGCACCUUCUUUCUCUCCCACGGCGUACAUCUGCGGAUGUCGUGCCCCCACACCAACCCUCGGAAUGGUCGAGUCAAGCGCAUGAUUCGCACCAUCACCAACAUGUCAUGUUGCCUGCUAUUUCAGGUUUCUCUUCUCGCCCGCUACUAGGCUGAGGCCAUGAACACAACCACCUACCUCCUCAAUCGUCUUCCCUCCAAGGCGGUUUUCCAUCCCACUCCUGUUGGGGAUAUAAUCCCCGUCCCCUAGGGCCUAUCGGUCAGUGAGCACACUGGGUAAAGGCUUCUGGCAACUGGGUCCCAAAGAUCAGUCGGAGGAAAUAGGUAACAUCUACACUGGAAGAACCCGGCUUCGGACGAACUCUACAGCACUGAGCCUGGGGUCGGGCGUGGCGGAACCGGACAGGGUGUCAGACGCGUUGAAGGGAAACCACUCGAGUGGAUCUCGCGUGUGGCCCAAGACCGACCCAUCAUAAAACGAUCGAUCACAUUAACUACGUGUGGCGCCACACCACAGCGGAGGCGUCGGUCUGCCUCCCACUUCAUCUAAAGAAAUGUAUCAUUAUUCUCCACGUUGUUCAUAGCCUAGAUCUAUUAUUUACAGUUAGACUGGUCCAGAGUGGUUUCACCGCCCUUGGUAGCGAUUGAACUGACCUGCACAGUCGAACUGAUAAUUUGAUUUUAUUUUAAAGUUUGUGGUGAAAAUUUUAGGUGUAGUCUAUUCACCCAUCUCUACUUUCAAUACCGCACAAUAAAUUUCAUAUCUUGUAUGGUGAAUUCUUCCCUUUGUUGUUGAAUUUAUUUCUUGUACAUUCGUAGAGCUUUGUUACUAUAGGUUGCAAACCUAUUUUAGUUCAACUUUGGUUGGACUAUUUAAUUCUCUUAUGAUUCUAACUAAAUGUAAUGAGCGUGUUCAAUUUCAUAUCCUUCAUCCUACAAUAUCCAGAUGUUUUGUGCAAUAUCAAUUUUUUUGCCUAGCUAGACUUUACAGUAGAUAGUAAAAAAUCCAAACGUACCCCAAACGUCUUUAGCUGGGCAAAGUGAGGUAAAGCCCUAGCAAGAGAUUCGAACAACUUUUUUUUGGGGGAUGGAGGGUGUACUCCUGAAGCCCUAGCAAGAGAUUCUGCAAGAGAUUCUGCAGUUUAUAGAAACUUAUGACAUUGUAGUAUAUACAUGACGUGAUAAAGAUUGGCGCAACUUUAUAAGCCAUGUCAAAAAAUAUGUACAAUUACCGACAUCUACAGAAAUUAUUUCAUGCAUUGAAAAUACUUUAACAGAUUGAUUUUAAGUAAGAUGUUUAAUCCACCGAACGGCCCAAGCCCACUGGAGGCCUGGUGGGUGCACGCUAAGAGGUCUGUUUAACGUUUUGCUAGCGAACCAGAUUGUAAAGGCAUAUAGGAAGCCCGACGUCUAGACAGAUGUCAGCAUUGUAAGUUAAUGGGCCGAAGUUGUACAGUGAACCAUCUCCCACCUUUGACACUUCGCGCUCCCCAUCCAAACCGUACUGAUCCGCCGGCCGCCGUUCUCCAUUUCAAAUUGCAAACCUAUACUCCUUUUCCGCCUCCUCGACGCAACUCGUCGCCGUCUUCUCCAACUCGCACUUCGUCCCUCGCCCCACCCAGGGGCGGAUCUCCACCCGGGGCUGCCUGGGCUGCAGCCCCUGUCGGCAGUCGCGGCCCAGUCCAUCAUCGCGCGACAUGACCUAGCAGUAGCAGCAGACGUCCUACGUCCAGCCCCAGCCGCCGCCGUUUGGCUCCUGCGUUCGAUCUCGCUGCGUCCUGGUCCUGCGCCCUGCGGUCCAGCCUCCUCUCCAAGACUCCACUUCUCCAGCGCGCUCGCCCGCGCCAGCCGCCAGGCCGCCACCGGCCACCGCCAUUGGCCCCACCAUUUGCCGCUCCCGCCUACGAUGCCGACGAGUGAGGUGUGGAGCUUGUCCGAUUUUGAAAUCAGCAAGUACAUCGCUGAGGGCAGGUUCGGCAAGGUCUACCUCGCCCGCGAGAAGCAGGUCUGCCCAAUCAGCCCCUUCCAAUGCUCUUGAUUUACCCCAAAAUAUUGCCUACAUGGAAGUUAAUCUACGCGCGGGGACGAUCCAGAGCGGGUACGUGGUGGCGCUCAAGGUGAUAUUUAAGGCGAAACUGAAGAAGCACCGCUUCCACGCGCACCUACGGCGGGAGAUCGAGAUCCAGCAGAGUCUCGACCACCCUAACGUGCUCCGCCUCUUCACCUGGUUCCACGACGAAGAGCGAGUCGUCCUCGUCCUCGAGUACGCGGCCCGUGGCGAGCUCUACAAGGUCCUUCGCGCUGCUGGCCGCUUCACCGAGCGCACGUCCGCCACAGUAAAAAACCCCCCGUUUUCCUUUUGCUUCACUUUUAUUUCCCGGUUGUGCCUACGGCUGGAUUGCCAUUCCUCCUACUGUUAUUAACCUAAAUCAUGUUAACCUGAACCAUAAUAACCGAUGCAAAGUCUCAUGUGACAGCGACUGUGUACAUACAAAGUUCCCUAGGCAGCUAGACCAUGAGCCGAGUAGUUAUAUGGUUGGUAAUUCUGUGAUAUUACUUCUAUUCAGGUCAUGAAUGGUAGCAAGAAAGUUUUGAGUAAUGGCCUAACUUGAUUUUACUGGAAUCAGAUAUCGUGUAUGACAGGAGUCAUCAAUUGCUGGUACAUUGUGUGCAAUGGUCAAUGGUUACAAGUUACAUCAAAGGCAGUUGACAUUGAACAAAAUUCGAUAUUUGCAAAUUCUUAGUGCCAUUUAAUAAGCUUUCAAAAUGAUAUUUUGGAUUUUAUGGAUCUUUGCAUUAUCUGAUUGCAGCAUUAAGUACUCUUUAGAAACUCUUAAUGUAUUUCCUAGGAGUAUAAGUUAAGCUGAACCAAAUGUUUAUGUGAACUGCUAAUCAUGUGUCACACAUGCAGUGCGCUCUGCAGUUUAUGACUUUAUUGCCGUGAACCCAUACAUUUAUACACAAAACAUAGAGAGAAUGCAUGACAUCUCUUUUAACAUGACACUGUCUCAGUCUCAACUUGUGAUGAUGCCAUUAUUGCCAAGAACUUGUGCUGCCAUUGGCAUACCACACCCUAGAGCAUGGUGUGUGUGUGUGUGUAUGCAGGUUUCCUUCUGGUUUGCCAUUCUUUUGUUAGAUUGUGAUAACCAUGAAUCUUAUGUGUUUUAGUAUGUAGCGAGUCUUGCUGGUGCACUGGCAUACUGUCACAAAAAGCAAGUCAUUCAUAGGGACAUCAAGCCUGAGAAUUUGCUAAUCGACAUCGAGGUUGGUUCUUCUUUAUGAAGUUGUUGCGGCUGUUAUUGUUUCUAGCACCAUAUUUGAUUCAUGCGUUUAUUCUGUUGUUAUUUAUUGUUGCAAACAAUUUUAUCCGUGUAUGUCUUUGUACUUUUACUGUUUUGUGUUGUUGUAAUUUACUAACUUUUAUUACCAGAUGGCUUUAAAAAAACUUGACAUGUGGGGGUAAAACUGCCACACGACAUUAUAUUAAGAAGACCAUCUCAGCAGGUCGAGAAAACCCCUGCCCCACCCAUACACGGCGAAACCGUAGCCCAUAUAAGAACGACCGCGACUCGGGCUAGACCUUAGACCUGUGCUUUGGCGUGGGACGGACGAGGUGAUUUUUUAAACCAUGGACUAAAAUUCGCUCCCACUGUUAUGACUAGAGAUGGUAUUGGGGAAUUGAGGAUGGAUUGGAACAGGGGAUUGGAGGCUAGAACCCCGGCCGGGCAAGAAGAAGUACUAUCCUUGUUCUUGCUUGCCUUAGACUGAUACAAUCCCUCUCCUUAUAUAGAGAGGUUACCUUGGACUCUACGUAACUUGGACCCUAAGCAAUAGAUCUAAUAUUCUAAUCUUAUCUCUAACUAAUCUUAUCUAAUCCCCCUUAUAGGGCCCAUGGCUGCUGGUGCCACAGCCCCUCCGUGGGCCUCCUGUAACGACCUAACCUAUCAUCGAAAAAUGAACCUUUUACAUAUCGACUGGUUUUUUAAUUUUUCUAGAAAUAUUGCAACUGCAAGCAUCAUCCUGUUUCCCAAUGAAACGUUACACAACGAAGAGGAGAGUGUGAGCUGAAACCACGGAGGUAAAGACACAACAACCUUCGGAGGCCCGUGGAGGCCUACGUUGGUGUUGCCUGUAGCAAGUGGAUCCCGUGCAGCGCAACCCCUCUUGGUCCUGUGGCCACCAGUGCACAGAGGGUGGCGUGGCUAGAGCAGAGGGUGGCAAGGCCACCAGACCCCCUUGUACGAAGGAGAGUAGUCGAGGUAGUUUCUCGGUCGCCACAGAUGAGGGCCAGCGCCGGACAGAGCGAUGCAGAGGGGCGUCGUGUCUUGCAGCCUCUCGUACGGUGAGGUGAACAACCACCAUGUUGCUCAGCCGCGCUGGUGCAGUUAUGACUCCCCGCAAUGGAGCAUCGCCAACAUUUGCUUCACUCGUCGACGCGCUAGUAAACCGCGUGCUGCAACCUGCAGGUGGACGAUCGUCGUUGUCUGUCAUGGAGCAACCACACUCUGCUAGAUGUCGCUCUUGGGGUCAAGGGUAGCGGUGAUGGCUGCCCCUGAUGACGGGGGCGGUGUCGGCGACGAGGACACGACAAACGUGGCAGCAGAAGUCGCCACUACCGCGAGGGAACCAAAGCGCUGCUGGCACAUGAUCUUGAACUGUGGCCACGUGACCUAAUGCUCGCCGUGUUCCAGCCACUAGAACCACGUAUGUGCGUGGCCCAUGAGGUGAUACUAUGCCAACUAGGCCUUGUCGGACUCCAGGGUGCGCUGGCUCCAGAAGAACCGUUCGCUGUCGUUUAACCAUCCCAGAGGGUCACCGCUGCCAUCGUAGAUGGGCAAGGAGUGGGGUGUUACGGUCACCGGCAUGGUAGCAGCAGCGAGGGUUGGCGCCAGGGGCUGGUAUACCAGUCCUAGUAUGGUUGCCCCUAGUGUCGUCAGCCAUGCAGCCGAUGAUGAAGACAACCUCGAGGGUGCAAAGCAACUGGUAGGCAUCGCUGUUCACAAAGAUGUAGGUGCCAAAACGGCCGAUGACGACCAGGCCGUUAUUGGCGUGCUGCUGGAGAGCGCCAUGCUGAUGGUGUUGAGCCAUUGAGCCACGCAAACAGAUUGUCGAAGUACACCUCGGGAACCUAAGCAAACAGAAUGUCGAAGUACACCUCGGGAACCUAAGGACCAUGAGAGGCAGAGGCGUGGUCGUGGGCCGCUCGUACUGUGUGACGUUGGUGUCAGGGUUCCAGUAGUAGAGGUAGCUGGUGAUGUCGUCGACGAGCCCGCGCCAUGGCUUGGGCAGCGAUGGGUCUUUCAGCGCGUACCACGGGGCUACGCGCCCGAACGAGCCACUACCGCGCGACAUCGGGUCCGAUUGGGUCUAGGAAACCCGUUGUGGCGCCCGGCGGCGUGGGGCAGAGGCGUCCUGAUGGUGCAGAGGGUGUCGCAACCUGCCGGCAUGGAGGUGGAGGCGGUAGCGGACCCAGAUCAGCGAGGCCUCUGGCGUGGAAGUGGCCUGGCGGGGGGCGCAGAGUGGGUCGCCGGGCUGCACGCGAGGGAUCACGCGUCGGCGCUAGCGGGUCAGCUGUAUGCACGUUGUUUGAGGUGUGGUGGUGAGUGACUACGUAGAUGUGGCGGACGCACGAUGGAGAUGUGGUUGCGGCUAUGCGUUGCGGGCGAUAGCGCAGGAACAGACGCGAUGGAAGGGCGGUGGGAAAAAAAUUGGCUCCAAAUACUAGAUUGUUUUGACUAGAGAUGGGAUUGGGGAAUUGAGGAAGGAUUGGAACAUGGGAUUGGAGGCUAGAACCUCGGCCGGGGGCCUUUCGCCCACGGCCGGGGGCCUUUCGCCCACGGCCGGGGGCCUUUCGCCCACGGCCGGGGGCCUUUCGCCCACGGCUGGGCAAGAAGAAGUAUUAUCGUUGUUCUUGCUUGCCUUAGACUGAUACAAUCCCUCUCCUUAUAUAGAGAGGGUACCUUGGACUCUAAGCAAUAGAUCUAAUCUUCUAAUCUUAUUUCUAACUAUCCUUAUCUAAUCCCUUUGGAGGAUCCAUGGCUGUUGCUGCCACAUCCCCUCCGUGAGCCUCCUUAGGCCCUGAUACGGGUAGUCGAAUUUAGGACAUGAGUGCUAUUCAGACCAUCUAACCAACUUAGCUAGAGGCCUUUUAGCUUUACCAGACGGUCUUAUUCUACAAAAAAAUGAAUUUUAAUAUCUAAGGGUAGUGCCUGUAGUUUUUGCACCAUUUCGUUAUAAGAAUAUAAUAGAACCAUUACGUUGAGUUUGCUCAAGAAUCCAAUUUACAGCUUUUUCUCAUAGGUUGAAAAUUAUCUCUAAAUGUUUGCCCUUCUUAAGUGUACAUUAUAAAAGUAUUUUACUGUUUAUGCAAACAAUGCAGACUUGGCUCUUUGCAAGGGUUUAGGGUUUAGAGUAAGGGCAAUUCAUCUUGAAUACAAGUUACACCUGGACAGGAUAUAUAUCAUGCAUCUGAAUAAAUCUGAAAACACAUAUAACAGUUUAUUGCCGGUUCACUAACAUACGUGGAGAAAUGGUUAUACAAAUGUUUCUUCAAUGCCUCAUUUCUGAAAAACUGCAUUGUCGUGUGAUGGGUAUUAUUCUUGACGCAUCAAAUGCUAGGUGAUGAUUUGAUAACUAGUUAACUUUUUCUCCAGGGCCGGCUUAAAAUUGCAGAUUUUGGAUGGGCGGCUCGUUCAAAUGCUAAACGCCACACACUCUGUGGCACAAUCGAUUAUCUGGCACCAGAGAUGGUAGAGAAAAAAGCUCAUGACCAUGCUGUGGACAACUGGACAUUAGGAAUCCUGUGCUAUGAGUUCUUAUAUGGUUCACCUCCUUUUGAAGCUGAUGAACAGGAUGAUACCUUGAGAAGGUAUGGGCUGAUAGAUCUGUUUUUUCUCUCUUCCUGGUCUUCAUUCCUUAUCAUUUUGUGCCAUGUGAAUUUUGUGCAGGAUAGUUAGGGUGGAUUUGGCAUUCCCUUCAUCUCCUUGUGUAUCUUCAGAGGCUAAGGAUCUCAUUUCCAAGGUGACAUCUAAAAGUAGUGGUUAUAUAAGAGAUUAAUCAAAAGUGAUGGGUGUUGCCUGAACUAUUGAUUGUUAAGUGUGAUUGUGUAUGCAGCUUCUAGUUAAGGAUUCAAGCAAGAGGCUUUGCCUUGAAGACAUCAUGAAGCAUCCAUGGAUAAAGAAGAAUGCAGACCCUUCAGGCAGUUGCAUUAAGCAAAAAGAUGUCACAAGAUCAAAGGUAAAACGAUAAGUGAAUAUGCAAGAUAUCUUCUGAGCCAUGGUGUUUAGUGUUCUUGUUCCUUGGAGAUAACCAUGGUGUUUAGUGUAAGUAGAAGCCAGCCUAUGUACUGUGAUCUUAGUUAUGGACCAUGUGUCGAAGUUGCUAAACUUCUGUUGCCUGCCUCAUCUGGGGAGGCAAUUAAUCUUAGCUUUUGUGUGGAUACAGUAGUUCCAUAUUUUUCAGCCCCUCUGUGAUAUAUAGAUGUUUGGCGGGUGGGCGCUUUUAUUUUGCUAUUAUGGACUCAUUGACAUUGUGCUUCGGUAAAGAAAUUUGGGCUUACCGUUGUAAAAAAAACACACUGGUGUUAUCUGAUUACUAUGCUGAGUAUGAAAAAAAUAUAAGUUAAUUUUAUUUUGGCCUCAUUGGCAUGGUAUUCUUGCUUAGCUUCACAUGUCUAUUUUUUAUCAUAUAGUUUGCUCUCAAAUGCAAAUAAUAAAACUAUGGAUUACACUCACAAGAAUAAGUAGCUAGUAUAUAUUUGAAUGUGAUAAAACACUUCAAUCCCAGCUCAGCUACUUGGUCUGGAUAAAAGGACGACUUUUUCCUUUUAGUUUCUGAUCAAUCUGCAUGUUCUUCUAGACGAGAAGGGCACCUUUUAGUUAUCAGAAAUAGAUAUAAUGUGUAAUAUCAGUACGACAUUCACAGCUAAUUUGGUCUCGGUUUUCUCUACAGCUUCUGUAAUAUCAGUACAACGUGCUUGCCAGUGGGCAAGAACCUUCUGAUGUGGUGCCAAACUCGUCACUACUGGAGGACAAAUAUAAUGACCUGUUGUAGUUUUAAGUUCCGAUAGUUCUGGAGUGGAUUGGUGUGUGUGUGUAUCCCUGCAAGCUUUCUCCUACAGGCUGGAGUUCUAGUUCUGAUACAGCGUUUGUGUUACCCUUUUGAACUGAGUGGUGAAACCAAUGUUCACUGGAGAGGAAUGUAGUUUUCAACUGAGUUGUUGAACCUUCGCGAAUUGGAGGGUCAAUGGUCUGUGGAGAUUGGAGAGGAACGUGGCUUUCGCUGUGGCGAUCGUAUUUUGUAAUUGUCGAAUCUACAGUAUUUUGGUCUUUAGCAAUGAAAUAUGGAGAUGCCCGUAGUUUUUCUAUGACGCGAAAAGGGAGGGAAAAACUGGUAAUUUCAAAUGGCCAUAUAUCUAUUAUUCUGAGUUUAAUGGCUGUCUAGUCUUGAUGCACACAGAGAAUGGAAGUCCUAUUGUCUUCUUCAAAAGUUGGUACCAACAUCGUUCAAAAUCUGCACACUGCAGCUAAGCCUGGGCAUAUUACCUGUUAAUCGAACCUGAAAAAUCUGGACUUAUCCAAAUCUGCAGUACCGAAUUCUAGUUUGAUAGUAAAUGCUAUUACCCGAAUUUAGUUUGGAUAAUUCGGAUAGCAGCACAGGUGCUCGAAAUAGUGCCAGUGUGUGUCACCUGGCCCCUAGCACGUGUGGAUGUUUCAGUCCAACAGGAAACACGCGGACAUGGGCCACGCGGCCCAUCAACAAAUCAGUCCGCUUCCUCCAUGGCUCUGUCCAUAAGGUGCCCUCCCUAGUCCCUAUUCUGGCAUUCGACAUCUCGACCACUCCCCAGGCCCUAGUAGCUUCCAAUCCCUCCAUAACCUAGCUGCCACCCGUCGCUCUCCUUGUGCCCGCCUGCCCAGAGGCUAGAUAGCCGGACGCCAGAGCGACCUCCAGUGCCUGGAGGCCGGAGCGACCAUGACGGUGUCACGAUGCUCGCCGUCGCUGCCUCCUUCGUCCACCUCUGUCCUCUGACCUCUACUCCUCACAAGUCACAACCUCACUCACCUCACUGGUUAAGGAUCGCGAGUGUUGAGGUUGACGAUGCUGUUCGGGUAAAUUGGAUAUAACUGAACCCGCGGGUAGCGUUUUGGUAAGACUGUGAUCGGGUAACAAAAUAUAUUACUCGAAUUUAUCAAAACUAGAAUUACCUGACCCGAACUAAUCGGGUAACCCGAACAUCCCGAAUCUUAACUGCAGCUACAGACAACUAGGUUUUUUUAUCUCAAACAUGUACGAUAGCUACGUAUCAUUUUAUUAAAGAGAGAAAGAAACAACAUAUUACAAAAGAGGCCAACACAGCCUUCCCCCGCCACACACACAUACACUCAACACAACAUGCAGGCUACAACCCCAAGAACACCUCAACCUAAGUCAACCACAUAAGGUGAGAGCAAGGACAAACCUUUUGCUCCAACCAUACACCACAAUCUAAAAUCAUUUUCAGCAAGAAUAAGGGCCUUGGAAAUACUAGACCGCACACCAUUGAGCAUAGUCAUUACGGUGGCAGCCACCAAAGACACCAAGCCACGUUCCUCACCACAUUACUCCAUUCCCCUUACCUACUACCAAUGUUUAUAUAACUCUCUAUUUUUUUUCAUUUUACCCUCCUCUUUUGAGUUGGUUUAAUUUAACCAUUAACAAGAUUUUUCUUUUUAGUUCUUUAUGUACAAACUGAGUUUUCAGUCAAUUUUUUUAUUAGUAGCUAAUAGCAUAAUUUAGUUUAGAAAAUAAAUUAUAUUUUUAUAAUUACUUUUAUAGGUUAGGGAUCUGAUAAGACAAAAAUUUAAUGCUACAAAACUUAAUAUAAAAUAAUGAUGAAAAUUAUUAACAUAUUUUUCAAUAUAAGGUAUGAUGUCUUUAAUCACCUCAAAAAAUAUGAAUUUAAAAUUUAAUUUAUACAUGUAGAAACGAAAAGGACGAUCUUAUUAGAGAGAUUUUUAUUUUUUUUGUUUCUCUAUGUAUAAGUUAAAUUUGAAGUUUGUAUUUUCUAGGUGAUUGAGAAAAUCAUAAUUUAUGGAGAAAAAAUGUUAUUUUUUUCAUUAUUAAAGUUAUUAUUUUAUUUUAAGUUUAUAUUUAAUUUUAUCUUAUUACAGUUAUUAUUUUAUCUAAUUACUAACCUAUUAAAAAUAAUUAUAAAAAACAUAAUAUAUUUUGCUAAACUAAAUUAUGUUGUUAGCUACUAAUAGGUAAAAUUUUGAACUGAAAAUUCAGUUUGAAAUUGAAAAGGACAAAUUUCUAUUAAGGUGUAAACUGAACGGACUCAAAGAAAUGGAGGGAUAAAAUGAAUUGAAAAAUAAUUUAGGUAGUUACACGAACAUUGUCGAGAGUAAUGUGGGGGUUUUUUCUAGAAUAAAAAGGAUUGUCAAAAUAAGCUAGGUUGAUUCUGUUUUUUAUACAAAUAACAAGAGUAGGAAUAAGUGAGGCUGGAAUGAAGUAAAAAAACAUAUCGUUUGGGCGUUGAUUUUAGCUUAUUUUAACCAAUAGCUUAUAAGCUACACAGACAGAUCAAAUAACUUCAGUACAUAGGAGCUUUAUAAUAUUAUAUAGAAUUUAGAAGAAUCGAUUUUAUUUUGACAUAGAACACAUAAAAAGCAAGCGUUUGAAAAAAAGAAGAGGCUAGGCCAAGCCGUGACCGUGAUGCUUUCUUUUUUGUGCCACCGUUUUCGAGCCACUUUCGACGAUCCGAGCAGAGCAAGCGAAACCACUACGUAAUCGGGUACAUGGAUUCUAUUCCAAAAUUUUGCCAUCACAAGAAGCCUUAUGAGGCAAGAUGCAUGGAUUCAACUAAAACCUUUACACCAGACUGACCUUGCCUUAAUCUUUGAUCCAAGAUGCAAUAAUGAAUAGAUACAUAACACAAGUUGAGCAGUCUUUUAUGCUUUGUAUUUCCUUUUUACAUAAGUUUCGAACACCAUGUCGUCACAUAAAACAAGAGAACUGACAUCCUUAUCACUCAUUGAUGCUUGUUCAUCUACUUCUGCAACAUUUAUAUGACAUUCAUUCUUAGCUACAGAGAAAAUUUGUUGCUUUCGAACAAGCAUCUGCCCGUAGGGAGUGAAAAAAAAAACAAUCUGUCUGCCAAGCUGCGCAAUCGACAUUUGAGGCAAGGCUACAACCAAAUAGCUAAUAAAUAAAGAACCUAAAGGCUCAGCAUAUCCCUUGUCAGCAGAGAAAGGAAAAAUGGACCUGCAGCAUGUGGUAUUGCCACAAUGUACUAUCAGGAUGCAGCAGCUGUGUACUGCACCAUGUCAUGCUCAUAUAUUGUAUCUGUUAUCCUCGAUAAGUAUCGGAGCACAGAUCUCCCAAGGAUGUUCUUAAAUGGAAGUGGACCCCUGCAGAAACCAUACAACACGUGAGCUAUUGCUGUAGAAACUGGGGUUAAAAAUGAAACAUAAAGCAUCUAUUUUAGUUCAACUUAUGUUGGAGUAUUUAAUUCUCUUAUGAUUCUAACUAAAUUUACUCAGCGUGUUCAAUUUUAUUUAAAACUGUCUAUUCGCGUCUCUUCUAGCUGGCAUCCUUCAUCCUACAACAUCCAAAUGUUUUGUGCAAUAUCAAUUUCUUGCCUAUACAGUAGAUAGUAAAAGAUCCAAACGUACCCCAAACGUCUUUAGCUGGCAAGGUGAGGUAAAGCCCUAGCAAGAGAUUCGAACUACUUUUUCUGGGAUGGAGGGUGUACUCCCGAAGGAAGUUUAUAGAAACUUACGACAUUGUAGUAUAUACAUGUUGGCGCAACUUUAUAAGCCAUGUAAAAAAAAUGUACAGUUACCGACAUCUACACAAAUUAUUUCAUGCUUUGAAAUUACUUUAACAGAUUGAUUUUAAGUAAGAUGUUUAAUCCGCAGAACGGCCCAAGCCCACUAGAGGCCUGGUGGGUGCACGCUAAGGGGCCUGUUUAACGUUUUGCUAGCGAACCAGAUUGCAAAGCCAUAUAGGAAGCGCGGCGUCUAGACAGAUGUCGGUAUUGUAAGUUAAUGGGCCGAAGUUGUACAGUGAACUAUCUCCCACCUUUGGCACUUCGCGCUCCCCAACCAAACGGUACUGAUCAGCCGGCCGCCGUUCUCCAUUUCAAAUUGCAAACCCGUUCUCCUUUUCCGUCUCCUCGACGCAACUCGUCGCCGUCUUCUCCAACUCGCACCUCGUUCCUCGCCCCACCAUUUGCCGCUCCCGCCUACGAUGUCGACGAGUGAGGUGUGGAGCUUGUCCGAUUUCGAAAUCAGCAAGUACAUCGGUGAGGGCAGGUUCGGCAAGGUCUACCUCGCCCGCGAGAAGCAGGUCUGCCCAAUCAGCCCCUUCCAAUUCUCUCGAUUUACCCUAAAAUAUCGCCUACAUGGAAGUUAAUCUACGCGCGGUGACGAUCCAGAGCGGGUACGUGGUGGCGCUCAAGGUGAUAUUUAAGGCGAAACUGCAGAAGUACCACUUCCACGCGCACCUGCGGCGGGAGAUCGAGAUCCAGCAGAGUCUCGACCACCCUAACGUGCUCCGCCUCUUCACCUGGUUCCACGACGAAGAGCGAGUCGUCCUCGUCCUCGAGUACGCGGCCCGUGGCGAGCUCUACAAGGUCCUUCGCGCUGCUGGCCGCUUCACCGAGCGCACGUCCGCCACAGUAAAAAACCCCCCCGUUUUCCUUUUGCUUCACUUUUAUUUCCCGGUUGUGCCUACGGCUGGAUUGCCAUUCCUCCUACUGUUAUUAACCUAAAUCAUGUUAACCUGAACCAUAAUAACCGAUGCAAAGUCUCAUGUGACAGCAACUGUGUACAUACAAAGUUCCCGAGAACUAGGCAGCUAGACCAUGAGCCGAGUAGUUAUAUGGUUGGUAAUUCUGUGAUAUUACUUCUAUUCAGGUCAUGAAUGGUAGCAAGAAAGUUUUGAGUAAUGGCCUAACUUGAUUUUACUGGAAUCAGAUAUCGUGUAUGACAGGAGUCAUCAAUUGCUGGUACAUUGUGUGCAAUGGCCAAUGGUUACAAGUCACAUCAAAGGCAGUUGACAUUGAACAAAAUUCGAUAUUUGCAAAUUUUUAGUGCCAUUUAAUAAACUUUCAAAAUGAUAUUUUGGAUUUUAUGGAUCUUUGCAUUAUCUGAUUGCAGCAUUAAGUAUUCUUUAGAAACUCUUAAUGCAUAGGAGUAUAAGUUAAGCUGAACCAAAUGUUUAUGUGAACUGCUAAUCAUGUGUCACACAUGCAGUGCGCUCUGCAGUUUAUGACUUUAUUGCCCUGAACCCAUACAUUUAUACACAAAACAUAGAGAGAAUGCAUGACAUCUCUUUUAACAUGACACUGUCUCAGUCUCAACUUGUGAUGAUGCCAUUAUUGCCAAGAACUUGUGCUGCCAUUGGCAUACCACACCCUAGAGCAUGGUGUGUGUGUGUGUAUGCAGGUUUCCUUCUGGUUUGCCAUUCUUUUGUUAGAUUGUGAUAACCGUGAAUCUUAUGUGUUUUAGUAUGUAGCGAGUCUUGCUGGUGCACUGGCAUACUGUCACAAAAAGCAAGUCAUUCAUAGGGACAUCAAGCCUGAGAAUUUGCUAAUCGACAUCGAGGUUGGUUCUUCUUUAUGAAGUUGUUGCGGCUGUUAUUGUUUCUAGCACCAUAUUUGAUUCAUGCGUUUAUUCUGUUGUUAUUUAUUGUUGCAAACAAUUUUAUCCGUGUAUGUCUUUGUACUUUUACUGUUUUGUGUUGUUGUAAUUUACUAACUUUUAUUACCAGAUGGCUUUAAAAAAACUUGACAUGUGGGGGUAAAACUGCCACACGACAUUAUAUUAAGAAGACCAGCUCAGCAGGUCGAGAAAACCCCUACCCCACUCAUACACGGCGAAACCGUAGCCCAUAUAAGAACGACCGCGACUCGGGCUAGACCUUAGACCUGUGCUUUGGCGUGGGACGGACGAGGUGAUUUUUUAAACCAUGGACUAAAAUUCGCUCCCACUGUUAUGACUAGAGAUGGUAUUGGGGAAUUGAGGAUGGAUUGGAACAGGGGAUUGGAGGCUAGAACCCCGGCCGGGCAAGAAGAAGUACUAUCCUUGUUCUUGCUUGCCUUAGACUGAUACAAUCCCUCACCUUAUAUAGAGAGGUUACCUUGGACUCUACGUAACUUGGACCCUAAGCAAUAGAUCUAAUCUUCUAAUCUUAUCUCUAACUAAUCUUAUCUAAUCCCCCUUGGAGGGCCCAUGGCUGCUGCUGCCACAUCCCCUCCGUGGGCCUCCUUAGGCCCUGACACUCACCCCCACUGGACAAGCAGCUCGUUCUCGAGCUGCAACAUUCAACAAACGACCUGUAAAGACCUUAGCUAUCAUCGAAAAAUGAACCUUUUACAUAUCGAUUGAUUUUUUAAUUUUUCUAGAAAUAUUGCAACUGCAAGCAUCAUCCUGUUUCCCAAUGAAACGUUACACAACGAAGAGGAGGGCGUGAGCUGGAACCACGGAGGUAAAGACACAGCAACCUUCGGAGGCCCGUGGAGGUCGACGUUGGUGUUGCAUGUAGCAAGUGGAUCCCGUGCAGCGCAACACCUCUUGGUUCUGUGACCACCAGUGCACAGAGGGUGGCGUGGCUAGAGCAGAGGGUGGCAAGGCCACCAGAUCCCCUUGUACGAAGGAGAGUAGUCGAGGUAGUUGCUCGGUCGCCACAGAUGAGGGCCAGCGCCGGACAGAGCGAUGCAGAGGGGCGUCGUGUCUUGCAGCCUCUCGUACGGUGAGGUGAACAACCACCAUGUUGCUGGGCCGCGCUGGUGCAGUUACGACUCCCCGCAAUGGAACAUCGCCAACAUCUGCUUCACUCGUCGACGCGCUAGUAAACCGCGUGCUGCAACCUGCAGGUGGACGAUCGUCGUCGUCUGUCGUGGAGCAACCACACUCUGCUAGACGUCGCUCUUGGGGUCAAGGGUAGUGGUGAUGGCUGCCCCUGAUGACGGGGGCGGUGUCGGCGACGAGGACACGACAAACGUGGCAGCAGAAGUCGCCACUACCGCGAGGGAACCAAAGCGCUGCUGGCACAUGAUCUUGAACUGUGGCCACGUGACCUGAUGCUCGCCGUGUUCCAGCCACUAGAACCACGUAUGUGCGUGGCCCAUGAGGUGAUACUAUGCCAACUAGGCCUUGUCGGACUCCAGGGUGCGCUGGCUCCAGAAGAACCGUUCGCUGUCGUUUAACCAUCCCAGAGGGUCACCGCUGCCAUCGUAGAUGGGCAAGGAGUGGGGUGUUGCGGUCACUGGCAUGGUAGCAGCAGCGAGGGUUGGCGCCGGGGGCUGGUAUACCAGUCCUAGUAUGGUUGCCCCUAGUGUCGUCAGCCAUGCAGCCGAUGAUGAAGACAGCCUCGAGGGUGCAAAGCAACUGGUAGGCAUCGCUGUUCACAAAGAUGUAGGUGCCGAAACGGCCGAUGACGACCAGGCCGUUAUUGGCGUGCUGCUGGAGAGCGCCAUGCUGAUGGUGUUGAGCCAUUGAGCCACGCAAACAGAUUGUCGAAGUACACCUCGGGAACCUAAGCAAACAGAAUGUCGAAGUACACCUCGGGAACCUAAGGACCAUGAGAGACAGAGGUGUGGUCGUGGGCCGCUCGUACUGUGUGACGUUGGUGUCAGGGUUCCAGUAGUAGAGGUAGCUGGUGAUGUCGUCGACGAGCCCGCGCCAUGGCUUGGGCAGCGAUGGGUCUUUCAGCGCGUACCACGGGGCUACACGCCCGAACGAGCCACUACCGCGCGACAUCGGGUCCGAUUGGGUCUAGGAAACCCGCUGUGGCGCCCACAGCGUGGUGCGGAGGUGGCGCCCGGCGGCGUGGGGCAGAGGCGUCCUGAUGGUGCAGAGGGUGUCGCAACCUGCCGGCAUGGAGGUGGAGGCGGUAGCGGACCCAGAUCAGCGAGGCCUCUGGCGUGGAAGUGGCCUGGCGGGGGGCGCAGAGUGGGUCGCCGGGUUGCACACGAGGGAUCACGCGUCGGCGCUAGCGGGUCGGCUGUAUGCGCGCCGUUUGAGGUGUGGUGGUGAGUGACUACGUAGAUGUGGCGGACGCACGAUGGAGAUGUGGUUGCGGCUACGCGUUGCGGGCGAUCAGCGCAGGAACAGACGCGAUGGAAGGGCGGUGGGAAAAAAAUUGGCUCCGAAUACUAGAUUGUUUUGACUAGAGAUGGGAUUUGGGAAUUGAGGAAGGAUUGGAACAUGGGAUUGGAGGCUAGAACCUCGGCCGGGGGCCUUUCGCCCACGGCCGGGCAAGAAGUAUUAUCGUUGUUCUUGCUUGCCUUAGACUGAUACAGUCACUCUCCUUAUAUAGAGAGGGUACCUUGGACUCUACAUAACUUGGACUCUAAGCAAUAAAUCUAAUCUUCUAAUCUUAUUUCUAACUAUCCUUAUCUAAUCCCCUUGGAGGAUCCAUGGCUGCUGCUGCCACAUCCCCUCCAUGAGCCUCCUUAGGCCUUGACACGGGUAGUCGAAUUUAGGACAUGAGUGCUAUACAGACCAUCUAACCAACUUAGCUAGAGGCCUUUUAGCUUUACCAGACGGUCUUAUUCUACAAAAAAAUGAAUUUUAAUAUCUAAGGGUAGUGCCUGUAGUUUUUGCACCAUUUCGUUAUAAGAAUAUAAUAGAACCAUUACGUUGAGUUUGCUCAAGAAUCCAAUUUACAGCUUUUUCUCAUAGGUUGAAAAUUAUCUCUAAAUGUUUGCCCUUCUUAAGUGUACAUUAUAAAAGUAUUUUACUGUUUAUGCAAACAAUGCAGACUUGGCUCUUUGCAAGGGUUUAGGGUUUAGAGUAAGGGCAAUUCAUCUUGAAUACAAGUUACACCUGGACAGGAUAUAUAUCAUGCAUCUGAAUAAAUCUGAAAACACAUAUAACAGUUUAUUGCCGGUUCACUAACAUACGUGGAGAAAUGGUUAUACAAAUGUUUCUUCAAUGCCUCAUUUCUGAAAAACUGCAUUGUCGUGUGAUGGGUAUUAUUCUUGACGCAUCAAAUGCUAGGUGAUGAUUUGAUAACUAGUUAACUUUUUCUCCAGGGCCGGCUUAAAAUUGCAGAUUUUGGAUGGGCGGCUCGUUCAAAUGCUAAACGCCACACACUCUGUGGCACAAUCGAUUAUCUGGCACCAGAGAUGGUAGAGAAAAAAGCUCAUGACCAUGCUGUGGACAACUGGACAUUAGGAAUCCUGUGCUAUGAGUUCUUAUAUGGUUCACCUCCUUUUGAAGCUGAUGAACAGGAUGAUACCUUGAGAAGGUAUGGGCUGAUAGAUCUGUUUUUUCUCUCUUCCUGAUCUUCAUUCCUUAUCAUUUUGUGCCAUGUGAAUUUUGUGCAGGAUAGUUAGGGUGGAUUUGGCAUUCCCUUCAUCUCCUUGUGUAUCUUCAGAGGCUAAGGAUCUCAUUUCCAAGGUGACAUCUAAAAGUAGUGGUUAUAUAAGAGAUUAAUCAAAAGUGAUGGGUGUUGCCUGAACUAUUGAUUGUUAAGUGUGAUUGUGUAUGCAGCUUCUAGUUAAGGAUUCAAGCAAGAGGCUUUGCCUUGAAGACAUCAUGAAGCAUCCAUGGAUAAAGAAGAAUGCAGACCCUUCAGGCAGUUGCAUUAAGCAAAAAGAUGUCACAAGAUCAAAGGUAAAACGAUAAGUGAAUAUGCAAGAUAUCUUCUGAGCCAUGGUGUUUAGUGUUCUUGUUCCUUGGAGAUAACCAUGGUGUUUAGUGUAAGUAGAAGCCAGCCUAUGUACUGUGAUCUUAGUUAUGGACCAUGUGUCGAAGUUGCUAAACUUCUGUUGCCUGCCUCAUCUGGGGAGGCAAUUAAUCUUAGCUUUUGUGUGGAUACAGUAGUUCCAUAUUUUUCAGCCCCUCUGUGAUAUAUAGAUGUUUGGCGGGUGGGCGCUUUUAUUUUGCUAUUAUGGACUCAUUGACAUUGUGCUUCGGUAAAGAAAUUUGGGCUUACCGUUGUAAAAAAAACACACUGGUGUUAUCUGAUUACUAUGCUGAGUAUGAAAAAAAUAUAAGUUAAUUUUAUUUUGGCCUCAUUGGCAUGGUAUUCUUGCUUAGCUUCACAUGUCUAUUUUUUAUCAUAUAGUUUGCUCUCAAAUGCAAAUAAUAAAACUAUGGAUUACACUCACAAGAAUAAGUAGCUAGUAUAUAUUUGAAUGUGAUAAAACACUUCAAUCCCAGCUCAGCUACUUGGUCUGGAUAAAAGGACGACUUUUUCCUUUUAGUUUCUGAUCAAUCUGCAUGUUCUUCUAGACGAGAAGGGCACCUUUUAGUUAUCAGAAAUAGAUAUAAUGUGUAAUAUCAGUACGACAUUCACAGCUAAUUUGGUUUUCUCUACAGCUUCUGUAAUAUCAGUACAACCUGCUUGCCAGUGGGCAAGAAUCUUCUGAUGUGGUGCCAAACUCGUCACUACUGGAGGACAAAUAUGAUGACAUGUUGUAGUUUUAAGUUCCGAUAGUUCUGGAGUGGAUUGGUGUGUGUCCCUGCAAGCUUUCUCCUACAGGCUGGAGUUCUAGUUCUGAUGCAGCGUUUGUGUUUCCCUUUUGAACUGAGUCGUGAAAACCAAUGUUCACUGGAGAGGAAUGUAGUUUUCUACUGAGUUGUUGAACCUUCGCAAAUUGGAGGGUCAAUGGUCUGUGGAGACUGGAGAGGAACGUGGCUUUCGCUGUGGCGAUCGUAUUUUGUAAUUGUCGAAUCUGCAGUAUUUUGGCCUUUAGCAAUGA